UGAUGAUGCGAAAUCGGUGUGGACCUCUGCACCAAAGGUCUGAUAACUAGCUGAAGUUUCAUGGCUGCAGAUAAAUCUUUUUGCUGAAAAUCAUCAACCUCCUGUGUGUUAUUCUUCUUAAUUUUUCCGCCCAUGAUGCCCCUGGCUGUUUGCGAGCCGCUUCGCCGCAUCGUGAUCAAAGUGUAUACCUACCUACCUACCUACCUACCUACAGCUGGAAGGAUCCAUUGUGUUACUCACCUCUCUANNNNNNNNNNNNNNNNNNNNNNNNNNNNNNNNNNNNNNNNNNNNNNNNNNNNNNNNNNNNNNNNNNNNNNNNNNNNNNNNNNNNNNNNNNNNNNNNNNNNNNNNNNNNNNNNNNNNNNNNNNNNNNNNNNNNNNNNNNNNNNNNNNNNNNNNNNNNNNNNNNNNNNNNNNNNNNNNNNNNNNNNNNNNNNNNNNNNNNNNNNNNNNNNNNNNNNNNNNNNNNNNNNNNNNNNNNNNNNNNNNNNNNNNNNNNNNNNNNNNNNNNNNNNNNNNNNNNNNNNNNNNNNNNNNNNNNNNNNNNNCACAUUUCGCCUAAUUUUUCAUUUUGAUGAUUAUUUGUUGUAGAGAUGGACAAUGUAGUUGUAUGGUUAUGGUCCCCUUAGGUGUUGUGAACCCGUAUUGAUUUUCCGUAUAGAAUACUUGGUAGCAUGUUGAGCACUGUCUGUGUGGUGUUGGCUGUGGUAUGAAAUAUGAAUUAUGAAUGUUUGUCUGGUUAGUGGAUAUUUUUUGUUUAUGAAUGGUGCAAAAGAUGUGGGCAUGAUCCACAAAGAAGAGCAAACAUUAUUAUUCUUAUUAUGCUUCCAAAUGAUUUUCGCUUCCGACCAGUAUUUUCUUGGACUGAGCAUAUUUUCCAUGCUACGGCAUUGAUCAAUAUAGGAGUAUUUCAUUGUGUUUUAAUCGCAUGUGAAUUAAAAAAUACCAUUGCUCUGCAUGUUUAGGCAAACGUGUACUGUUUCCGAGCAAUGUUCGUCAGCGGCCUAAGAUUUGAGCUGUUUGCAGCCACAAAUCAUAGCGUGCAGAGGCCAGGAGAUAGAUUCUGCAAUACGUUGGGAGUAGAAAGCGAUGCAGCAUUGCCAGGCCCAGUCGGCAACGGGUGGUGACGCGCUGUGGUUGUGCAGGCAUGUCGACAGCUUCUUCCUCCCUCGCUCGCUUUCCACUCCCAACGUCAAUGGUGACGGUCAGAUAAAAUUGUUUCUCCCUCCCUGACAUAAUCUCACCCACGGCCGCAGUUGCGUACGAGCACAAGCAGGUUCCACUUGGCAAGCACGACUUCUCAACGGCAGUCACACAUGGUUCACAGUCAAUGUGCUCAAGUCAAUCCACACAUUCAUAUUUCAUCAUCAGCUUAAUAAAAAAACUAGACUCCGCUAUCCGCUAUCUUUUUUACUUAAAGAUAAUAACAGUAACGACAUACUUCCUCCGUUAGGGUUUGUAAGUCUCACUUGUAUCUUUGAUCAUAAAACUGACUAAUAAAUAAGAGCUAUAUGUAACGACAACGUUACCACGGGGAACUUGUUUAGAAUAAUAUAAUUUUAAAAAAAUCCAACAACAUGGUUUUUGUGGCAUAUAACCUAUGGGCAAAGUUUGAUCCAAAAUACAGCCAAAAGGCCAAACGGAGACCGAGCUCCAUGGAGGCCUUCAUUUGAAAACUUCAAAAUUCAAACUUUUCAGUUUCAAAAAAUUCUGAAAGAGAUGCGCAUAUACCUAGAUACAUAAUGUAGUACAUGUGUGCAAAUUUUCAGGUCGAAAUACGUUAAAAUGAGAGCUACACAAAAAGAUGAGGCCAUGAUUUUUUUUUGUGCAGCUCGCAAUUCAAAGUAUUUCAUCCUUUGUCACACGUAUCCAUUACAUCCUUGCAUACAUGUGUGUUUGUUCAGAAUAUUUAAAAAUAAAGAACUUUGAAAUUUUCAACAUAAAGGCCUCCAUGAGGCUCGGUCUCCAAAAUGACCCACCCCAGGGACUAACAAACCCAGCCAUAUACAGGGAUGAUGAAAGGCGAUAAGGAAGCAUACUAUCUUUUCUGCAGUUAUAUAUGUCAGACUGAGGAUUCAGUUAUUAAGCACUAAUGGCGCACAUGGCAGUCAGUAGCUGUUCCCAUCAAUCACACAAAAACAAGGCCAUCACGUGUAUACUUUCCUCGUUGCUACUUUGGACAACUGUACAAAAAGAAAAACACCACCCGCUAGAGGACGUGCUAGACAGAUAAACAUACAACACAAAAAUGAGGCUGAGGUCAAUGGAUCUACAGCCUGCGAGACAUGGAGGAGGGAUCACCCCUCCUCCGAAGAAAUAAACAAAAUGCUGCUAACCUUGACUCGCUAAUUCGAUCGGCCUCACAGGUUCAGAUGCGUGAAGAUCACCGGCACCAGGUCGACCACCGACCACGCAAGCCCGGCGUACUGCACGAACCUGAUGCCGGUGUCUACAUCAUACGCCUUCUGAGGGAAGAGGGAGAAGAGCCGCUGGAGGUAUCCGCCGGCCUGCUUGGCCUCGUCCUUGUUGCCUGAGCCGCCGCCAAUGUCGGAUGGCUUCAGCGCGGGCACAUAGCAGGACGAGACGAUCGGGACCCCCAGGGUGCUGCACAUGACCGGCAGGAGCCAUUUCGAGAGCGCCUUGCUACAGGACUUCACGGCCAGGAUGGUCGGGAUCCCCACAAGGACCCUCCCAGCAUAGGCGAGGAGGGGUAGUUGAUGGCUGAGAAUGAGGGGGGCUUCCGGGCCAUGGAAACGGGUGUACGUCUGCUGCACGCCGUAGACCUGAAUCGAUAAGGGUAGAGAACAGUGUCAGAUAAGGGUAAACAUGAUUUAUCAACAACUGGAAGAGCAUGGGAGAAACUAGAGCUAGAUUUAGUUCCAAGAAUUCUUUUGGGUCAACUAUAUUCAGUCAAUGGUGAAGACUAUUCUCUGCUGAUUACACUUCAAAUGUGAAUGGUAACUGAAUUUCCAUCACAAAUUCUUAAGUAAUAUCUUCCGUGUGAGCAGAAUUCUAAAACAAGAUUACGAGCAAUACAAUCUUUGGAUCAAGUAACCAUAUUUCAUACACAGAGAGGUCAGAGUUCUUACAAUUCCGAAAGCGACCCCGUUGAAUGCUGUGUGGAAUUCAAAGCUAGGAGUUGGGAAUUCUGGCUUUGGAUAUGCAAAGCAGAGCACUAGAGAAAGGCUUGCCCAGAAGAAUGUGACUGCAGAAGAAAACAACUAUGAGAAUGUUCUUCUCCUUUGGAUAUCACAAUUUAUUUAUCGCUACUAGAGUCAAAGUAAUGUUGAGGCAUAUGGACAUACCAUUUUGGCCGGAGACGACAAAGGCAUCAACAUGAUCAUGGACAACCAACCAGAAUGCAAGGAUCACGAUGCCAAAAGAGAUCCCAGCGAUAACGUCGGUCAAGCUGUGCAUGCCCAAGUAUACCCUCGCUAUAAAAUUUCAUGUAAGCCACAUCAUCAGUAUCUUUCGGUAACUGUAAGAGACAGUUGUGCGGAGAAAUAAAAGAACUCACCAAUUCCAAUUAACGUAACGAGCAUGAAAGCUAGAGAAAGACCCGUGGCAAUCGUGAAACCAUCACAUGGUCCAUAUGUGAGGACAUAAUGUAACAUGUAUCUGCAUUUUUCCAUGUCAGAAUUAGCCAGGCAAACCCAAUAAAUACAGCAACUCUUUGAUUGAAACAGGAAAAUACCCCAUCAAACAAACGGUGUUGAGAGCGUGCGAUGAAGGCAGUCCAUAUUCCAUGGCAUUUUCCUUCUCAUCUUCGGUAGCUGUGACUCUCCUCACGGGAGGGGAACACGGCCGAGGAGCUGACACUAAAUCCUACAACCACAAAUUCCCAAGGUGUCAACAACCAAACCAACCAAAACAGCAAAAACCCAGCUUGCACCCAUUUUUGUGUGAGUAGAUGGCAACCUUGACAGCGUUGCCCAGGUAAUCGCAGAAGGCCAGCAGCAGGGUCAUUUGCCUAGCCAGCUUGCCAUGUCCACUCUACACAUCCACGAAAACAGCUCAGAAUUACAGAAGCAGAAUAAGAGGCGAUUAAUGUGCCACAAGACAUGGCAGGGGAGUGGCUGGAGCAUACCCAGAAGAGGAGGGGGAGGAAUCCCGUGUAGAAAGGGACAGAGACAAAGCAUGACAGCACGGAGAAGAAGUUGUCCAGCAACCUGUGCUGCAGCCUCUGCAAUAAUUGAACAGACAGGGAUUUUUCCCCUUCAGAAAAAUACAAGCAAGAACAGCUUAGGAAUCGAGGCCAGGUUUAAAAUAAAAUGCAUGCAUCAUAGAUGUCAUCGAUGUUUUUGUACAAGACGAUGAUAAUUCUCCUCGUUUGUUUCAAGCCAAAUUAAUCUCUCUUUACAUGAUUCGAUCACCUAAUUGGUUCUUCUUCGUCCUAGGACUAACGAAUCGAGCAGCAACCGCGUGCUGGAACGGGUAAUGGUAUCCAGAUUGCGCAACGAGAUACCCCCAAAUGCAGGAACUGGAACUGUGCGUGGCCUUUCCUCCUUUGGAGAGAACCUUCCGUUGGCGGAAACGAGGUGGAAAAAGCAGGGAUUGGGGGGAGGGGAACGGACCUGGAAGGUGAGGAUGGAGGGCGUCUCGGCGUGGACGCGGCGGGUGACCCAGGGCUGCGCCAGCGCGCGCGCCCGGCGCGUGAGGUCGUAGUGGGAGGCCGCCCACACCCAGCCCGCCGCGCCCGACAGCGCCGCCGCCUGCCACCCGGCCAGCCCGGCGCCACCGGCCGCCGCGACCGCCUCCAUGUCCGUGUCUUUGUCCCUCCGACCGCCGGCGCCUGAUUCCGGGAGGAGCGCGCGAGAUCCCCACGACCACGAGAGAUGGAGAGGAGAGGUUGACUCGCACGGCGUAGGCUGGCAGCGCAGGCAGGCGAGGGGGGUUCUUGUAGGAGGAGCGGUGGAGGGGAGGCGCGGGCAGGUGGCGGUGGUGGUGGCCGAGGACGGAGACGGGAGGUGGUCUGGUUUCUUGGCGGUCUGCCGGCCGGCCGCCCCCGCUCUGGACCGGAGUCUCGCACCACCACGCGGCUAAGAAACUUUUUGUUUUUAUUUCUCGUGUUGUUUGAGGGACAGUGGCUAUUUAAUCCCGGGAGUCAGAUUGUGACUUCGGAAGGUUCUAAACUCCCGGGACUUUAAAUCCUGGCUCUUGAUUUGGCACGCGGUUGAAUUUUCUCCUCCCACCGAGAGCGAGGCAGAGUAUGGUUCUUCUUCUUCUUUCCUUUCCUUCGCGGAAAUCCUAAACACACGCGCCGUAAUAUAUUUUUUUUGAGAAUUUUUUUAUCUAUUCAUUUUCAAUCAAAAAGAGUACAACGAAGACCAGAAAUAAUAAAAAUUACAUCCAGAUCCGUAGUCCACCUAGCGACGACUACAAGCACUGAAGUGAGCCGAAGGCACGCCGCCGUCAUUGACCCUCCCUCGCCGAAGUCGGACAAAACUUGUUGUAGUAGAUAGUCGUGAAGUCGUCGUGCUAAAGCCCCAUAGGACCAAUGCAGCAGAACGGCAAUCGCCACUUGUGAAGAGUACCGUAGAUCGGAAGAAUUCAACCUGAAGAAACACAAACGUAGACGAAGUAUAACCAGAUCCGAGCAAACUCACUAAGGACAGAUCCACACAUCCACCAACGAUGCUAGACACACUACCAGGACGGGGCUAGGCGGGGACACCCUUAUCCAUCUUCAGGGAACCGCACCACCUCGUCUUUCUGAGUAGAACACAAACCCAAACAAGACUCGAAGGAGGUAUAAAAACAUAGCCCUCCCACCGGCAAAGAGCAGGAUCCACCGUGCCGUCAUGACUCUAAGGCCAACAGAUACGAGGCGGGGCGGCGGGAGACCGAGGAACCCUAAACAUUGCAGGUCUAUGGCAGUAUGUUGCAUGCACCACACGCGCCGUAAUAAUAGAGUGAAGAUAUAUCCAAGAAUCUUUACUGAAAUCAUACCAUGGUGUCUGUUAGGAUUUUAUGUUGGGAAACGUAGCAGAAAUUUAAAAUUUUCCUACGUGUCACCAAGAUCUAUCUAUGGAGAAACGAGCAACGAGGGAAGGGGAGUGCAUCUACAUACCCUUGUAGAUCGCUAAGCGGAAGCGUUCAAGUGAACGGGGUUGAUGGAGUCGUACUCGUCGUGAUUCAAAUCACCGAUGAUCCUAGUGCCGAACGGACGACACCUCCGUGUUCAACACACGUACAGCCCGAUGACGUCUCCCACGCCUUGAUCCAGCAAGAAGAGAGGGAGAGGUUGAGGAAGACUCCAUCCAGCAGCAGCACAACGGCGUGGCGGUGAUGGAGGAGCGUGGCAAUCCUGCAGGGCUUCGCCAAGCACUACUCAGGAGGAGGUGGAGUUGGAGAGGGGGAGGGCUGCGCCAGAACUUCGUGUAUAGCUCCCAUGCGCCUCCCCACUAUAUAUAGGGGUGGAGGGGCUAGUUUCUUGCCCUCCAAGUCCAUUGGGGCGUUGGCCAAGGUGGGAGGAAAGAAAUCUCAUUAUUUCCUUCCCCACCGAUUGUUAUCCCUCCUUUUUAGGGAUCUUGAUCUUAUCCCUUCGGGAUAUGAUCUUAUUCCUUCUAAGGGGGGAUCUUGGUGCGCCUUGACCAGGGGUGUGGGGCCUUGCCCCCACUACCCACGUUCAUGUGGGUCCCCCCAUGCAGGUGGGCCCCACUCCGGAACCUUCUAAAACCUUCCCGGUACAAUACCGAAAAAUCCCGAACAUUUUCCGGUGGCCAAAAUAGGACUUCCCAUAUAUAAAUCUUUACCUCCGGACCAUUCCGGAACUCCUCAUGACGUCCGGGAUCUCAUCCGGGACUCCGAACAACAUUCUGUAACCACAUACAAACUUCCUUUAUAACCCUAGCAUCAUCGAACCUUAAGUGUGUAGACCCUACGGGUUCGGGAGACAUGCAGACAUGACCGAGACGUUCUCCGGUCAAUAACCAACAGCGGGAUCUGGAUACCCAUGAUGGCUCCCACAUGUUCCACGAUGAUCUCAUCGGAUGAACACGAUGUCAAGGACUUAAUCAAUCCCGUAUUCAAUUCCCUUUGUCUAUCGGUAUGUUACUUGCCCGAGAUUCGAUCGUCGGUAUCCAAUACCUUGUUCAAUCUCGUUACCGGCAAGUCACUUUACUCGUUCCGUAACACAUCAUCCCGUGAUCAACUCCUUGGUCACAUUGCACAUAUGAUGAUGUCCUACCGAGUGGGCCCAGAGAUACCUCUCCGUUUACACGGAGUGACAAAUCCCAGUCUCGAUCCGCAUAAAACAAUAGAUACUUUCGGAGAUACCUGUAGUGCACCUUUAUAGUCACCCAGUUAUGUUGUGACGUUUGAUACACCCAAAGCACUCCUACGGUAUCCAGGAGUUACACGCUCUCAUGGUCAAAGGAAGAGAUACUUGACAUUGGCAAAGCUCUAGCAAACGAACUACACGAUCUUUGUGCUAGGCUUAGGAUUGGGUCUUGUCCGUCACAUCAUUCUCCUAAUGAUGUGAUCCCGUUAUCAACGACAUCCAAUGUCCAUAGCCAGGAAACCAUGACUAUCUGUUGAUCACAACGAGCUAGUCAACUAGAGGCUCACUAGGGACAUAUUGUGGUCUAUGUAUUCACACGUGUAUUACGAUUUCCGGAUAAUACAGUUAUAGCAUGAAUAAAAGACAAUUAUCAUGAACAAGGAAAUAUAAUAAUAACACUUUUAUUAUUGCCUCUAGGGCAUAUUUCCAACAGUCUCCCACUUGCACUAGAGUCAAUAAUCUAGUUCACAUCGCCAUGUGAUUAACACUCACAGGUCACAUCGCCAUGUGACUAAUACCCAAGAGUUUUAGGUUUGAUCAUGUUGCUUGUGAGAGAGGUUUUAGUCAACGGGUCCGAACCUUUCAGAUCCGUGUGUGCUUUACAAAUCUCUAUGUCAUCUCCUAGAUGUAGCUACCACGCUCUAUUUGGAGCUAUUCCAAAUAACUGUUCUACUUGGAGCUAUUCUAAAUUGUUGCCCCAUAAUACGUAUCCGGUAUCUCUUCUUAGAGCUAUCCGGAUAGGUGUUAAGCUUGCAUCGACGUAACCUUUACGACGAACUCUUUUACCACCUCCAUAAUCGAGAAAAUUCCUUAAUCCACUAGUUACCAAGGAUAACUUUGACCGCUGUCUGUGAUCCAUUCAUGGAUCACUCUUGUACCCCUUGACUGACUCAUGGCAAGGCACACUUCAGGUGCGGUACUCAGCAUGGCAUACUGUAGAGCCUAUGUCUUAAGCAUAGGGGACGACCUUCAUCCUUUCUCUCUAUUCUGCCGAGGUCGAGCUUUAAGUCUUAACUUCGUACCUUACAACUCAGGCAAGAACUCCUUCUUUGACUGGUCCAUCUUGAACACCUUCAAGAUCAUGUCAAGGUAUGUGCUCAUUUGAAAGUAUUAUUAAGCAUUUUGAUCUAUCCUUAUAGAUCUUGAUGCUCAAUGUUCAAGUAGCUUAAUCCAGGCUUUCCAUUGAAAAACACUUUCAAAAUAACCCUAUAUGCUUUCCAGAAAUUCUACGUCAUUUCUGAUCAACAAUAUGUCAACAACAUAUACUCAUCAGAAAUUCUAUAGUGCUCCCACUCACUUCUUUGGAAAUACAAGUUUCUCAUAAACUUUGUACAAACCCAAAAUCUUUGAUCAUCAUCAAAGCAUACAUUCCAACUCCGAGAUGCUCACUCCAGUCCUUAGAAGGAUUGCUGGAGCUUUGCAUACUUAUUAGCAUCUUUCGGGAUUGACAAAACCUUCCGGUUGUAUCACAUACAACCUUUCCUCAAGAAAAUCGUCGAGGAAACAAUGUUUUGACAUCCUAUCUGCAAGAUUUCAUAAAUAAUGCAGUAAUCGCUAAUAUAAUUCCAACAGACUCUUAGCAUCGCUACGAGUGAGAAAAUUUCAUCGUAGUCAACUCCUUGAACUUGUCGGAAAACAUCUUAACGACAAGUCGAGCUUUCUUAAUGGUAAUUCUUACCAUCAUUGUCUGUCUUCCUUUUAAAAUCCAUCCGUACUCAUUUGCCUUACGACCAUCGAGCCGUUCUGCCAAAGUCUUCACUUUGUUUUCAUACAUGGAUCCUCUCUCGGAUUUUAUGGCCUCAAGCCAUUUAUCGGAAUCCGGGCCCACCAUCGCUUCUCCAUAGCUCGUAGGCUCAUUGUUGUCUAGAAACAUGACUUCCAAGACAGGAUUACGUACCACUCUAAAGUAGUACGCAUCCUUGUCAUCCCACGAGGUUUGGUAGUGACUUGAUCCGAAGUUUCAUGAUCAAUAUCAUAAGCUUCCACUUCAAUUAGUGUAGGUGCCACAGGAACAACUUCCUGUGCCCUGCCACACACUAGUUGAAGAGACGGUUCAAUAACCUCAUCAAGUCUCCACCAUCCUCCCACUCAAUUCUUUCAAGAGAAACUUUUCCUCGAGAAAGUACCUGAUUCUAGAAACAAUCCCUUAUUGCUUUCGGAUCUGAGACAGGAGGUAUACCCAACUGUUUUGGGUGUCCUAUGAAGAUGCAUUUUAUCCGCUUUGGGUUCGAGCUUAUCAAUCCUGAAACUUUUUCACAUAAGCGUUGCAGCCCCAAACCUUUAAGAAACGACAACUUAGGUUUCUCUAAACCAUAAUUCAUACGGUGUCAUCUCAACGGAAUUACGUGGUGCCCUAUUUAAAGUGAAUGUGGUUGUCUCUAAUGCCUAACCCAUGGACAAUAGUGGUAAUUCGGUAAGAGACAUCAUGGUAUGCAUCAUAUCCAAUAGGGUGCAGUUAUGAUGUUCGGACACACCAUCACACUAUGGUGUUCCAGGCGGUAUUAAUUGCGAAACAAUUUCCACAAUGUCUUAAUUGUGUGCCAAAACUCGUAACUCAGAUACUCACCUCUAUGAUCUUAUCAUAGACAUUUUAUCCUCUUGUCAUGAUGAUCUUCAACUUUACUCUGAAAUUACUUGAACCAUUCAAUAAUUCAGACUUGUGUUUCAUCAAGUAAAUAUAUUCAACAUCUACUCGAAUCAUCUGUGAAGUAAGAACAUAAUGAUAUUCACUGCAUGCCUCAGCACUCAUUGGACUACACACAUCAAAAUGUGUUACUUCCAACAAGUUGCUAUCUUGUUCCAUCUUACUGAAACCGAGGCUUUUCAGUCAUCUUGCCCAUGUGGUAUGAUUUGCAUAUCUCAAGUGAUUCAAAAUCAAGUGAGUUCAAACGGUCCAUUUGCAUGGAGUUUCUUCAUGCAUAUAUACCAAUAGACAUGGUUCGCAUGUCUCAAACUUUUCAAAAAUGAGUGAGUCCAAAGAUCCAUCAACAUGGAGCUUCUUCAUGCAUUUUAUACCGAUAUGACUUACGUGGCAGUGCCACACAUAGGUGGUACUAUCAUUACUAUCUUUUGGCAUGAACAUGUGUAUCACUACGAUCGAGAUUUCAAUGAACCAUUCAUUUUAGGUGCAAGAACAUUGAAGGUAUUAUUCAAAUAAAUAGAGUAACCAUUAUUCUCUUUAAAUGAAUAACCGUAUUGCGAUAGACAUAAUCCAAUCAUGUCUAUGCUCAACGCAAACACCAAAUCUCGAUGGUAGAGGGAGUGUGCGAUGCUUGAUCAUAUCAACAUUGGAAACACUUCCAACACAUAUCGUCAGCUCACCUUUAGCUAGUCUCCGUUUAUGCCGUAGCUUUUAUUUCGAGUUACUAACACUUAGCAACCGAACCGGUAUCUUAUACCCUGGUGCUACUAGGAGUACUAGUAAACUACACAUUAACAUAAUGUAUAUCCAAUAUACUUCUAUCGACCUUGCCAGCCUUCUCAUCUACCAAGUAUCUAGGGUAAUUCUGCUCUAGUGACUGUUCCCCUUAUUACAGAAGCACUUAGUCUCGGGUUUGGGUUCAACCUUGGGUUUCUUCACUGGAGCAGCAGCUGAUUUGCCGUUUCAUGAAGUAUCCCUUCUUGCCCUUGCCCUUCUUGAAACUAGUGGUUUCACCAACCAUCAACAAUUGAUGCUCCUUCUUGAUUUCUACUUUCGCGGUGUCAAACAUCGUGAAUACCUCAAGGAUCAUCUUAUUUAUCCCUGAUAUGUUAUAGUUCAUCACGAAGCUCUAGCAGCUCGGUGGCAAUGACUUUGGAGAAACAUCACUAUCUCAUUUGGAAGAUCAACUCCCACUCAAUUCAAGUGAUUGUUGCACUCAGACAAUCUGAGCACAAGCUCAACGGUUGAGAUUUUCUCCCUUAGUUUGCAGGCUAAGAGAAUCGUCGGAGGUCUUAUACCUCUUGACGUGAGCACGAGCCUGAAAUCCCAAUUUCAGCCCUUGAAACAUCUCAUAUGUUCCGCGACGUUUCGAAAACGUCUUUAGUGCCUCAACCAUUUAACUGAACUAUCACGUAGUUAUCAAAACGUGUAUGUCCGAUGUUCGUAACAUCCACAAAUGACGUUUGGGGUUCAGCACACUGAGCAGUGCAUUAAGGACAUAAGCUUUCUACUGAUCGCAUAAUUGCUACUAUCAACUUUCAACUAUAUUUUCUCUAGGAACAUAUCUAAAACAGUAGAACUAUAGCGCGAGCUACGACAUAAUUUGCAAAAGGUCUUUUGACUAUGUUCAAGAUAAUUAAGUUCAUCUUAUGAACUCCCACUCAGAUAGACAUCCCUCCGGUCAUCUAAGUGAUCACAUGAUCCGAGUCAACUAGGCCGUGUCCGAUCAUCACGUGAGACGGACUAGCCAACGUCGGUGAACAUCUUCAUGUUGAUCGUAUCUACUAUACGACUCAUGCUCGACCUUUCGGUCUCCGUGUUCCGAGGCCAUGUCUGUACAUGCUAGGCUCGUCAAGUUAACCCUAAGUGUUUUCGCUGUGUAAAACUGUCUUACACCCGUUGUAUGUGAACGUAAGAAUCCAUCACACCCGAUCAUCACGUGGUGCUUAGAAGCGACGAACUGUAGCAACGGUGCACAGUUAGGGGAGAACACUUCUUGAAAUUUUGUAAGGGAUCAUCUUAUUUACUACCGUCGUCCUAAGCAAACAAGAUGCAUAAACAUGAUAAACAUCACAUGCAAUCAAAUAGUGACAUGAUAUGGCCAAUAUCAUUUUGCUCCUUUUGAUCUUCAUCUUCGGGGCUCCAUGAUCAUCAUCGUCACCGGCACGACACCAUGAUCUCCAUCAUCGUGUCUUCAUGAAGUUGUCACGCCAACGACUACUUCUACUUCUAUGGCUAACACGUUUAGCAAUAAAGUAAAGUAAGUUACAUGGCGUUCUUCAAUGACACGCAGGUCAUACAAAAAUAAAGACAACUCCUAUGGCUCCUGCCGGUUGUCAUACUCAUCGACAUGCAAGUCGUGAAUCCUAUUACAAGAACAUGAUCAAUCUCAUACAUCACAUAUCAUUCAUCACAUUCUUCUUGGCCAUAUCACAUCACAUAGCAUACCCUGCAAAAACAAGUUAGACGUCCUCUAAUUGUUGUUGCAUGUUUUACGUGGCUGCUAUGGGUUUCUAGCAAGAACGUUUCUUACCUACGCAAGACCACAACGUGAUAUGCCAAUUGCUAUUUACCCUUCAUAAGGACCCUUUUCAUCGAAUCCGUUCCGACUAAAGUGGGAGAGACUGGCACCCGCUAGCCACCUUAUGCACCAAGUACAUGUCAAUCGGUGGAACCUGUCUCACGUAAGAGUACGUGUAAGGUCGGUCCGGGCCGCUUCAUCCCACAAUACCGUCGAAACAAGAUUGGACUAGUAACAGUAAGCAUAUUGAACAACAUCAACGCCCACAACUACUUUGUGUUCUACUCGUGCAAAGAAUCUAUGCAAUAGACCUAGCUCAUGAUGCCACUGUUGGGGAACGUAGCAGAAAUUCAAAAUUUUCCUACGUGUCACCAAGAUCUAUCUAUGGAGAAACCAGCAACGAGGAAAGGGGAGUGCAUCUACAUACCCUUGUAGAUCGCUAAGCGGAAGCGUUCAAGUGAACGGGGUUGAUGGAGUCGUACUCGUCGUGAUUCAAAUCAUCGAUGAUCCUAGUGCCGAACGGACGGCACCUCCGUGUUCAACACACGUACAGCCCGGUGACGUCUCCCACGCCUUGAUCCAGCAAGGAGAGAGGGAGAGGUUGAGGAAGACUCCAUCCAACAGCAGCACAACAGCGUGGCGGUGAUGGAGGAGCGUGGCAAUCCUGCAGGGCUUCGCCAAGCACUACUCAGGAGGAGGUGGAGUUGGAGAGGGGGAGGGCUGCGCCAGAACUUCGUGUAUAGCUCCCAUGCGCCUCCCCACUAUAUAUAGGGGUGGAGGGGCUGGUUUCUUGCCCUCCAAGUCCAUUGGGGCGUUGGCCAAGGUGGGAGGAAAGAAAUCUCAUUAUUUCCUUCCCCACCGAUUGUUAUCCCUCCUUUUUAGGGAUCUUGAUCUUAUCCCUUCGGGAUAUGAUCUUAUUCCUUCUAAGGGGGGAUCUUGGUGCGCCUUGACCAGGGGUGUGGGGCCUUGCCCCCACUACCCACGUUCAUGUGGGUCCCCCCAUGCAGGUGGGCCCCACUCCGGAACCUUCUAGAACCUUCCCGGUACAAUACCGAAAAAUCCCGAACAUUUUCCGGUGGCCAAAAUAGGACUUCCCAUAUAUAAAUCUUUACCUCCGGACCAUUCCGGAACUCCUCGUGACGUCCGGGGUCUCAUCCGGGACUCCGAACAACAUUCGGUAACCACAUACAAACUUCCUUUAUAACCCUAGCGUCAUCGAACCUUAAGUGUGUAGACCCUACGGGUUCGGGAGACAUGCAGACAUGACCGAGACGUUCUCCGGUCAAUAACCAACAGCGGGAUCUGGAUACCCAUGAUGGCUCCCACAUGUUCCACGAUGAUCUCAUCGGAUGAACCACGAUGUCAAGGACUUAAUCAAUCCCGUAUUCAAUUCCCUUUGUCUAUCGGUAUGUUACUUGCCCGAGAUUCGAUCGUCGGUAUCCAAUACCUUGUUCAAUCUCGUUACCGGCAAGUCACUUUACUCGUUCCGUAACACAUCAUCCCGUGAUCAACUCCUUGGUCACAUUGCGCAUAUGAUGAUGUCCUACCGAGUGGGCCCAGAGAUACCUCUCCGUUUACACGGAGUGACAAAUCCCAGUCUCGAUCCGUAUAAAACAAUAGAUACUUUCGGAGAUACCUGUAGUGCACCUUUAUAGUCACCCAGUUACGUUGUGACGUUUGAUACACCCAAAGCACUCCUACGGUAUCCAGGAGUUACACGCUCUCAUGGUCAAAGGAAGAGAUACUUGACAUUGGCAAAGCUCUAGCAAACGAACUACACGAUCUUUGUGCUAGGCUUAGGAUUGGGUCUUGUCCAUCACAUCAUUCUCCUAAUGAUGUGAUCCCGUUAUCAACGACAUCCAAUGUCCAUAGCCAGGAAACCAUGACUAUCUGUUGAUCACAACGAGCUAGUCAACUAGAGGCUCACUAGGGACAUAUUGUGGUCUAUGUAUUCACACGUGUAUUACGAUUUCCGGAUAAUACAGUUAUAGCAUGAAUAAAAAACAAUUAUCAUGAACAAGGAAAUAUAAUAAUAACACUUUUAUUAUUGCCUCUAGGGCAUAUUUCCAACAUUUUAACCCUUGUUUUUCUAAACGAAAGGCACAAAAAUCACCUGUCUAUAAACUAAUAAAGCCCCAAACAAGGUGUCGAGUCUUAAAAGGUUUCAGACAUUUGAACUCUUGUGGAUUGGUGGGCAAUUCAACAUUGCCCAUCUUUACUAGGCUUCAUGAAGGUAUCAAUACCUUUGUUGUAUGGAUGAUCAAGUCAGACCAUUUUAAUGUGGAAUUCAAGUGAUUGAACCAAAAAGGACUUAUGGUAAGAGGAUUAUACAUAUUUAGAUUUCUUUUGCAUGUCACAUUUGGGCAAGUAUGGCGGUGGACGAUUUCCUGCUCAAAGUGAGAGCAAAAGUGGUGAAUUUCGUGAAGCGCACUGUCCCUUUUUCUUGUAUUUUUUGGAUCCGCUGCUGAUUAUUAGGUGCUAAACUCAUUUGUCAUUUCACAACUACCUCCAUUUCUAGCUAAAAAGUACUUCCAUUUUUUUAAGAUUUAAAUAAUCACGAGGCUUAUUAGUGAGGAAGUGAUAAAACAAAAUGAAGCUAAUUAAUAAUCUCAACAAGCUACUUCUCAAGAAGCGCUAAUUGGCUGUUAGAUGGUCAGACUUCAGCUCUAAGGGGUGACAUAUGGGUUUAAUUGCCCAAUAGACUUUGGAAUAUUUGGUUGUUUCUUUUGUUUAACGAUGAAAUGGACAUGCAUAAGUUUAAUGGAAUAUAUGGUCCUACAUAUCAGUCGAAUAAUCGACACUUUGGAACCUGAUACCGUCGCAUCGCAUGCUAGUACACAAGGUUGGAUUUGUGUUAAGAGGAUAGGCUUUGUGUACGUAGAAGUUAAACGCGUAGACUCAGCAGCCAGCACACUCUUUUUUCAAGCUCAUGUAAAGUAAUUCAUUUAACUGUCGCAAAAAAUUUAAUUCAUCUAAAAAAUGACACUAAAAUUAAUCGAUAGAUAAAAUUCCGCAUGUCGAUGUCCGCUUAAAGAAAAAUACUAGGAAGUCAACAAAAAUCUAGAAAAAAGGAAUAAAAGGUCACAAAAUACCAAAAACAUUGGACAAUUCGAAAAAAUGAAUCAAGUCUUUUUUUCUGCCAAAUAUUGAUACUGGUGAAACUCAGAAGAGAAAAUGGCUCAAGGUUCCUUGAUUAUUCUAUUAGCAAGCUUCCUUGAUUUCUAUGAAGCCCAAAAUGAUACUUGAAGUUUCUUGACUUUAUUAUUGUGGCGGCUGACCUUGAUACCUUCUAGUUCUUGUUUAGCACACAAAGUUGCAUGAGGAUAUAGCCGUACUCUGCAAGUGAAACACUGGUCCGUCUUUGAUUCUAGCUCUAGCUUGACUCCAUCAGCUUUGACACGCGUGACAAUUCGUCACAUGUUGCCCUUGCCGUGCUCUGCCAAGUGAGCCUUCCAUAAGUCAAAUUAGCCGUCCAGGCACGGCAGGGUAUGCAUAAAGCCAUUGAUAUUGAUGUUGCUUUGUAGCAUAAGCACGAUUAGUUCUUGACCAAAAGGUCAGUGCGGUUAUCUUAUGUUAAAAACCCAUGAUGGAGUAUAAAGUCCUAGUGUGGUGUCGGAUUGGAACACUGGUGGAUUGGCUAGCAAUUCAGCAUUGCUUAGUUUUCCUAAGCUUGUAAAAGUUAUCAAGGUUUUAUUUCUACCAAAGAUCAAUUUGGACCAUUUUAUGAAGAUUUCAUUCAAUGAUCCUAGCAAAAAAGUGUGGAUGAAAAUGCAUCUUGGCUAGACGGUACAUACAUAACUGGUCGCUUUUGGCCCAAGUGACGAAUUUCGUGCCGUGCUCAAUCCCUUAGCUUUCAUUUUGGGCCCGCUGCUGAUCAGCAUCAUAAUUGGUACAUUUUGUGAGAUGAAACUGAUGGAUUAGCUCCUCUAACCGCAGCAAUUAGUUGGCUUUAGUUUUCGUGUAUCUUUUAAAAUAAUUUAUCAUAAACAUUAGCAUGCAUCACAUAGUGUGUCCCUUCGUCUCUCCUCCCAAGAAAAUGCGGCUAGGGAUUCUGCUUCCCGUCGGAGGCGCCGUCAAUCUGCCAUGUCUUCCGUGGCCUUAGGGCCAUGGGUGCUUGGUGGACCCUGCCCUUGCCCGCGGGAAGGCUUCGUUUUUAUGUGCUUCUUCAAGUUUUGUUAUGGUUUGUGCCCUGUUCAGAAAGACGAGAUGGUGACGGUCUUUUGAAGAUGAAAUAAAGUUCUCCCCAGCUAGCCCCCAUUUUGGUGAUGCAUUCAGCAUCGUCGGAGGGCGCGUGGGGGUGUGUCUCCGGCGGAGCUCGCGGGAUUCGGUUGGUGGUUGUCUUUGGUGGAUCUGCUCGGAUCCGGUCUUUAUUCGUCUCUGUUCAUGUGUCUUCAGGUCGGGUCCUUCCGAUCUAAAUUUCGCUUCAUCGGCGGCAGUUGAUGUUCUGGUGUGUUGGUCCUAUAAGGCCUUAGCACGACUUUCCGACUGUCUACUAUAACUAAUUGUGCCUGGCUCCGGCGAGGGAGAGGAGAUGACGGCAACGAGUCUUAGCUCGCUUCAAUGCUUGUAGUCCUUGCCAGGUGGUCUAUGAAUCUGGAUGUAAUUUUUAUUAUUUCUGAUGUUCGUUAUACUAUCAUGAUUAAAGAUGAAUAAAACGAAAGUUUCCUGAUUUUUUUUAUCAUGAGAGCUUGUGCGGUGUCUUUUCAUGUUGCAUUAGCUACUUUUUCCGCUUUCCCAAAAGAUAAAUGAGUGAAUUAACAAUGUCAACCAAGCUACUUCUCUAAUUAGCAGUUAGCUGGUCAGAGUUCAGUACCACAGGGUGACGCACGAGUUUAACUACUUGACCCAUUAGCUACUUUGGCGCAUUUGGUUGUUUAGUUUUGUUUAACGAAUAUAACAUGUGUAAGCACGAUGGAACAUAUGGUCCUAUCAUAUCAGCUGGCACUUCGGAACCUGAUACCAUCGCGUACUAGUCAGGUUGGAUACUGUGUAAACUGGAUAGGCUAACGUGUAGACUCAGCAGCCAGCAUGUCCUCCUUUUUAAAGUUUAGGUAAAUCAAUUCAUUUGAGUCUGCUGACCGCAAAGAAAAGUACUAGGAAAUCAACGAAAACUCAUAAAAAAGGUUACAAAAUACAAAAAUGAUCCCAGGAUGACCGUUGAAGCUUCUUGAUUUUUUUUGCGUGGAAAAGCUUCUUGAUUUUAUUGUCGGCCGUCCCCUGCAAGUAAAACACUGGCCUGUCUUUGAUUCUAGUUCUAGAUUGACUCCAUCAGCUUUGGCAUGCGUGACAAUUUGGCUCAUCUAUUCUUGCCGUGUUUUUUUUGAAAUAAACGAAAUUUUAUUCAUUAGCAAUAACCAAUACAUCGUUUAUGAGAAGUGUUACAAUUUCACUAAUAGGUUCCUCAAACCAAACCGAAGUCGAAAAAAAUCUAGCUAAUCUAGCAAGUUCAUGUGCUACUUUAUUUGCCUCUUUAUUACAAUGUUCGAAUUUAGUCAUGAUAAAAUCACAAGCAUAGUGAUAGCAGCCAUCGAAAAUUGCCGCCGCCGCUCCCGCUGACUGUCCUCCGUCUUGCAUUGUCUCAACCACCUCCCGAUUGUCAGAGUUGAUGAUUAGGCGAUUACAUCCCGCCCUUUGCGCUAAAUUUAGGCCAAAUUUGAGAGCUAAGGCCUCCGCCAUGAGAACGUCCGCACAGUAGUCUAUCUUUCCAUUCCCUCCUGCAAUAAACCUACCUUUGUCGUCUCUCAAUACUGCCCCCAUCGUACCCUCCAGCAAGUCAUGGUCAAAAGAGGCGUCAACAUUGAGUUUCACAAAGCCCCUAGGAGGACAUUGCCAACCCCCCUUUUUAUGGACGCAUUUGAAGAUGAAGCAUUUACAAAAUUAUAUGUAAGAGCUAUGAUCCCCAUUGAGAUCCGGGUCGCAUUUUGAGUGAAUUCCUUAUGCACUAAUUUCCUUCUUUCCCACCAUAGAUACCAAGCAGAGAUAGCUACCAUUUCUCGAACAUUUUCGUACCCCAUAAUGCGCAGAUCUUGAUCUGGAAGGAGUAAUAAGUAUUCCAGUAUUGCCUCCCCAGCACGAUCAAUCUCACAAGCUCUCUCAAUAAUCAUAUCCAACCCUAGCCUUUUCCAAACCUCUUUGGCUUUUCUACAUAGGAAAAGCAAGUGCUUUGUAUCUUCUACACCCUGGGAGCAUGUAUGACACAAGGGUGAGAUCUUCAUGUGUCUAUUAGUGAGUGUUGCCCGACAUGGAAGAGUACCAUGUAGUGUCCGCCGUAAAAAUAUUUUGACUUUAGUCGGACAAGAUAACUUCCAUAUCUGACACCAUAUAGGGUUACGUGUGCUCCGUCCCAUCCCGUUGGAAUAUUUUAAUUUGCUCCCAUACUGAUAGUUCCACUCCACAGAGUAAGCAGACCGUACCGAAAACAGACCAUUUUUCGUAUAACUCCAGGUAAUAAAAUCUGUCAUAUUAUGUUGUGAAAUUGGGAUUGAAAGAAUCCGUUGUGCGUCAAUGGUCCACAUAGUUUGUCUAAUCAUGUCCUCAUCCCAAUCAUUGGAGACCGGGUCAAUCAAUUCUACAACUUUUGAGAAUAAAUGCCCCCUCCUAGGAGUCACAAUCUUCCUAGUGGCACAAUUUGGGAUCCAGGCAUCUUUCCAAAUAUUAAUAUUAUGUCCAUCCCCCACUCGCCAAAUAUAACCUCGCUUGAGAGUAGUGAUGCCUGCCAUAAUGCUUUGCCAGGUGAAGGAAGCACCAUGCUUUGGCUUGGAGUUCAGCAAAUCACCAUUAGGAUAGUACUUUGCCCUUAGAAUAGUAGCACAUAAGGAGUCAGGAUUAUCAAGGAGACGCCAUGCCUGUUUUGCAAGCAGAGCCAGGUUGAAACAGUGGAUAUCACGGAAUCCCAUUCCUCCUUGGUUUUUUGAUACACACAUUUUCCACCAGGCCAUCCAGUGCAUUCUCUUCUGGUUCUCCUCGUCUCCCCACCAGAAAUGCGCCAUCGCGUCAAUGAUUCCUUUACAAUUUUUUUAGGAAUUUUAAAGACCGACAAUGCAUAGGUAGGUAUGGCUUGGAUCACCGCCUUUAAUAGGAUCUCCUUCCCUCCGGCAGAUAGUAAUUUUUCCUUCCAACCACUAAUUCUCUUAACAAUACGUUCAAUCAGAAAACUAAAGCAGUCUAUUUUAUCAACACCCACAUUUGCUGGUAAGCCCAAAUAUUUAUCAGUGAGGGCCUCCGUCAUUAUAUUUAGCGUUGUACACAAUUGUUCUCUGAUCUCUACCCUUGUAUUAGGGCUGAAGAAAAUACUGGAUUUUUCAACGCUUACCAGUUGUCCUGACACCACACAAUAUAAAUCUAGUACUGUUUUCAGGUUUUCCGCAUUACGUUGGUUGGCUUUCAUUAAGAUCAAUGAGUCAUCCGCAAAGAGAAGAUUUGUGAUCGGUGGGGUGUCUCUACAGACUUUUACUCCUGAUAUGUUUCCAUUCUCCUCAGCAUGCACAAGCAAGGCAUUCAAUCCUUCUGUGCACAACAAAAAAAGGUAUGGUGAUAGCGGGUUCCCCUGUCUCAACCCUCUCGUAGGCUUAAAUCUCUCACUUUCCUCUUCAUUGAUCCUUACUUUGUAUUCUACGGUUGAGACGCAUUGCAUAAUCAAGUUAACCCACUCACUACGAAAGCCUAGUUUCAACAUAAUCUCCUUCAAAAAGUCCACUCAACUCUAUCGUAGGCUUUAUGCAUAUCAAGUUUUAUAGCACACAAGCCCUCUCUAUCCUCUCUUUUAUUCUUUAUUGUGUGAAAACAUUCAUAGGCCACUAAAAUAUUAUCCGUUAUCAAUCUACCCGGUACAAAUGCACUCUGUGUUGGGCUAAUAAUUUCUGGUAAAAAAAACCUUCAAUCGAGAAGCCACCAUUUUUGGAAUUAUUUUAUAUAGCACAUUACAUAAGCUGAUCGGCCUAAAUUGAGUUACCUUCUCUGGUGUAUUAAUUUUAGGAAUCAUCACGAUCUCCGUAUCAUUCCAACCCUCCGGUAUAGUGCAUGUGUUGAUUGCUAUCAGGACCUCCUCAAUUAAGUCUUCCCCCAGCAUGGGCCAAAACCUUUUAUAGAAGAUAGCAUGGAGUCCAUCUGGCCCUGGAGCUUUCAAGUGCCCAAUAUCAAAUAAAGCCUUGCGAACAUCUUCCGCGGUAUAAGGGGCAAGUAGAACAUCAUUCAUUUCGUUUGACACUCUCCUUUGAACAAGUGAUAAAACAUCUUGAUUCGGGUGUUGAACUUCCGAUGUAAAAAGCUUUGUAAAAUAUCCAGUAAUGUGAUUCGUCAAUUCCUUAUUUGUUAACCAGUUUCCAGACUCGUCUAAUAGUUUCUUUAUAUUAUUUCUUUUUUUCCUGGCUGUGGCAGCAUUAUGAAAGAACGACGUAUUAUGAUCCCCAUGCAUCAACCAAUUUGCUCGUCCUCUCUGUAACCAAAAUAUUUCCUCUUGCUCCAAAAUAUUUUCAAUUACCAUUAUAAUUUCCUUCUGCCGGCAUCGAGAUUCCGUAUUCAAUGGGCCACGCCUUAGUUUCUCCAACUCUUUUUUUAAUUUUCUAAUUCUCACCUUUGGUCCCUUUAGCAUUUCCCGGUCCCAAGUAUGUAGAUCGGCAUGCACUGCUCUCGUACGGUCAGCAAGUGAGGGUCCAAUACCUGCUAGAUUUGCUUUCUCCCAAGAUGCCUUAACGAUUUCAGUGACCGUCUCUUCCUUCAACCAUCUCGCCUCAAAUUGUUUAACACGCCCUUCUUGGCUUUUAAAGAUUUUUUCAUCCCAAUACUCCAUAUCCAGUACGAUUGGGCGAUGGUCGGAAUGAACAUGUUCUUCAUUGAUAACUGCCGCUCGUGGAAAUUUGUUUGCCCAUGCUAAGUUACAGACUGCACGAUCAAGGCGCUCACGUAUUUCGCCUCUCCUCCAAGUGAACAUGUCCCCAAAAUAGCCUAGAUCAUCCAGCCCACAAUCCGUUAGGCAUUCACGGAACUCUCUCAUCAUACCAAGUGGUCUAGCUACACCACCCUCUUUUUCCGAGGGGUAUAAAAUUUCAUUAAAAUCCCCCAAAACCACCCAAGGAUGGUUGCUCUUACUAUGUAGAUUACGAAUGUCAUCCCAAGAUAGAUGGCGUUCAUUCCAUUUCGGGUGACCAUAAAAGCCCGUGAACCGCCACUGAACCACAUUCUCAUACAUAAAAACAAUAUCAAUAAAAUGGGGCGAAACAUAGUUCAACUCAAUUUUAUUGGACUCAUGAUAAAACAAAGCGAGGCCACCGGCCUUACCAUCACUUUCCACUACAAACAUAGAAUCAAAACCUAAUACGCGACGAAGCUCAUCGGCUUUACAAUUAUUCAAAUGGGAUUCAGAAAGGAAAAUUAAAUCUGCCCUUGUACGCUUCUGUAGAUCCAGAAGCUCACGAACUGCCGUGUUGAAGAGCAUACCACGGCAGUUCCAGCCUAGGAUUUUCAUUUGGCCCGGCGGUCCUCCUCCUCGGAGGCCGCCGAUGUGCCAAUCUCAUCUUUGUCUUCGCCAACUGAUUCCCCACCUCGCGACGCGUACUCUUCCUCCUUCUCAUCAGUCUCCUUUGCAACAUGUGUAACCCCGCCCUCCUCAUCCUCGACAGCUACAACUCUACCCGUGCACACCCGUUGGGAUGAGACGUUUACAUCACCAUAUAAGAUGCGCUCAUAACUAUCCAUCUCUUUCUCAAAAGAAAACUCUAAGUCACUGCCCGUUGGACAAGCCCCAAAAGAAUGCCCCCUUUUUUCCCCUAGCACUUGCUUGCGAGCAUCCUCAGCUCUAUUUGGGCCCCCUUUCUUUUUUUCUUUCUUUUUUUAAUUGCCUCGCAUAGGAUUUUUUGCUGCAUUGAAUUUAAAGGGUAGAGCAUUAUUCUCUGUAUCACCCCCGGCUGUAGCGAUUCUCGCUGCAACAGCGCUAGACAGCGCCUCCAACACCCCCGGCUGAAAAAGAAGUUCGCCAGCAUCAACUCCAUGCGGUUGAGUUAUUCUGGGCUUCACUUGUGCAUGAGCACUCAUGGCCAAGUUACCUGCAUGUGUGCUUUGGGCAUGUUCAGGAUCAUAACAAAGUUGACUUUGGUCAACCUCCGCAUUCUGGCGCGACUCCAGCAUGGUCACGUGGCCCUGGACCUCCUGGCCCCGUCCACCAGGAUCAGCUAGCGCGCCCGCCUGGUCCUCCUGACCAAGCGGCGCACCCGCCGGGGUAGGCGCUCCAGUCUCCUGAGUCCGGCCCUCCUGGCCGGUGUUUGUCUUGACGGAAGUAGUGGCCCCCUUAUCAGAGACCGUGAGCCCGCUCACGGCAGUGGCCACCUUGACGACGUCUGUGGCCUUGGCGAUGUUGUUGUUGACGAUGCCUGUAGUCGAGUUGUUGCCGCCGCGAAUGUAGUUCCCGAAGAGGAGACCCCUCCUACUAGCACCUUGGCUCUUCCAGUAGGGCUCAACACUAAGGUUUCUUGGAAAACAAACUACUCUCUCCUCUCUUGGAAUUUUACAAAACCUCUCUGAAGUAUGACCAACUAUCCCACAACACUCACAAUACAAAGGUAGUUUCUCAUACUUUACAUCAUAUUUAAAGAUCUUUGAACUACCUAAAGGGGUAAUCUCUACAGAGCAUUUCAGAGGCUCAUGCAGUAAUAUCUUCACCCGCACACGUAGAUAUUUCUCAACAAUUACAUGGUUACUGUGCGAAACCUCUAGUAUCUCUCCCAGUUGAUCCUCGAGAGACGUCCCUACGCUCUCUGUCUUAAACUCGAACGGGAGAUCACGUACCUGGACCCAUAUGGUCAUGACGCCAAGGUCGACCUCCGUCGGGUCGCCCUUGCAGUCGAAUUCGGCGAAGAUGAGGCCGUCCUGCUUGAAGUGCCAUGGCUGCGCCUUAAGCACAAACUGACGGUCACUCUCAGUGGCGAAAUUGAGGAUGAACCUCCCGUCAUCGCUGGCCACCUCCUGUAUGUUGGGGAACGUUGCAGAAAACAAAAAUUUUCCUACUCGUUUCACCAAGAUCAUCUAGGAGUUCAUCUAGCAAUGAGUGAAUAGAUGCAUCUACAUACCUUGUAGAUCGCGAGCGGAAGUGUUCAAAGAACGGGGAUGAUGUAGUCGAACACGACGUGAUUCGAAUCACCGGAGAUCCUAGCACCGAACGGACGGCACCUCCGUGUUCAACACACGUACGGAACAGCCACGUCUCCUCCUUCUUGAUCCAGCAAGGGAGGGAGGAGAGGUUGAGGGAGAUGGCACCAGCAGCAGCACGACGGCGUGGUGUUGAUGGAGCUGCAGUACUCCGGCAGAGCUUCGCUAAGCAAUAAGGAGGUGGAGGAGGUGUUGGGGAGGGAGAAGGAGGCAACCAAAGGCCAAGGACUCAAGGUGUGAAGUCCCUCCUCUCCCCCACUAUAUAUAGGGGUGCCAAGGGGGGGUGGCCGGCCCUAGGAGAUCCAAUCUCCUAGGGGGUGCGGCGGCCAAGGGGGGUUUCCCUCCCCCCCAAGGCACCUAGGAGGUGCCUUCCACUAGUAGGACUCCUCCCCCUUGGAAACCCUAGGCGCAUGGGCCUAGUGGGGCUGGUGCCCUUGGCCCAAGCAGGCCAAGGCGCACCCCCUACAGCCCAUGUGGCCCCCGGGGAUGGGUGGCCCCACCCGGUGGGCCCCUGGGACCCCUCCGGUGGUCCCGGUACAAUACCGAUAACCCCGAAACUUGUCCCGAUGCCCGAAACAGGACUUCCCAUAUAUAAAUCUUUACCUCCGGACCAUUCCGGAACUCCUCGUGACGUCCGGGAUCUCAUCCGGGACUCCGAACAACAUUCGGGUUACUGCAUAUACAUAUCCCUACAACCCUAGCGUAACUGAACCUUAAGUGUGUAGACCCUACGGGUUCGGGAGACAUGUAGACAUGACCGAGAUCGCUCUCCGGUCAAUAACCAACAGCGGGAUCUGGAUACCCAUGUUGGCUCCCACAUGCUCCACGAUGAUCUCAUCGGAUGAACCACGAUGUCGAGGAUUUAAUCAACCCCCUAUGCAAUUCCCUUUGUCAAUCGAUAUGUUACUUGCCCGAGAUUCGAUCGUCGGUAUCCCAAUACCUCGUUCAAUCUUGUUACCGGCAAGUCACUUUACUCGUACCGUAAUGCAUGAUCCCGUGACCAAACACUUGGUCACUUUGAGCUCAUUAUGAUGAUGCAUUACUGAGUGGGCCCAGUGAUAUCUCUCCGUCAUACGGAGUGACAAAUCCCAGUCUCGAUCCAUAUAAAACAAUAGAUACUUUCGGAGAUACCUGUAGUGCACCUUUAUAGUCACCCAGUUACGUUGUGACGUUUGAUACACCCAAAGCACUCCUACGGCAUCCAGGAGUUAUACAAUCUCAUGGUCGAAGGAAGAGAUACUUUGACAUUGCAAAACUCUAGCAAACGAACUAUACGAUCUUGUGCUAUGUUUAGGAUUGGGUCUUGUCCAUCACAUCAUUAUCCUAAUGAUGUGAUCCCGUUAUCAAUGACAUCCAAUGUCCAUAGCCAGGAAACCAUGACUAUCUAUUGAUCAACGAGCUAGUCAACUAGAGGCUUACUAGGGACAUGUUGGUGUCUGUUAUUCACACAUGUAUUACGAUUUCCGGAUAACACAAUUAUAGCAUGAAUAAAGACAAUUAUCAUGAACAAAGAAAUAUAAUAAUAAUGCUUUUAUUAUUGCCUCUAGGGCAUAUUUCCAACAGUCUCCCACUUGCACUAGAGUCAAUAAUCUAGUUACAUUGUGAUGAAUCGAACACCCAUGGAAUUCUGGUGUUGAUCAUGUUUUGCUCUUGGGAGAGGUUUAGUCAACGGAUCUGCUACAUUCAGGUCCGUAUGUACUUUACAAAUCUCUAUGUCUCCAUCUUGAACAUUUUCACGGAUGGAGUUGAAGCGACGCUUGAUGUGCCUUGUCUUCUUGUAAAACCUGGGCUCCUUGGCAAGUGCAAUAGCUCCAGUGUUGUCACAGAAGAGCUUGAUUGGCCCCGACGCAUUGGGUAUGACUCCUAGGUCGGUGAUGAACUCCUUCACCCAUAUUGCUUCAUGUGCUGCCUCCGAGGCUGCCAUGUACUCCGCUUCACAUGUAGAUCCCGCCACGACGCUCUGCUUGCAACUGCACCAGCUUACUGCCCCACCAUUCAAAAUAUACACGUAUCCGGUUUGUGACUUAGAGUCAUCCAGAUCUGUGUCGAAGCUAGCGUCGACGUAACCUUUUACGACGAGCUCUUCGUCACCUCCAUAAACGAGAAACAUUUCCUUAGUCCUUUUCAGGUACUUCAGGAUAUUCUUGACCGUUGUCCAGUGUUCCUUGCCGGGAUUACUUUGGUACCUUCCUACCAAACUUACGGCAAGGUUUACAUCAGGUCUAGUACACAGCAUGGCAUACAUAAUAGAACCUAUGGCUGAGGCAUAGGGGAUGACACUCAUCUCUUCUAUCUCUGCUGCCGUGGUCGGACAUUGAGCUGAGCUCAAUUUCACACCUUGCAAAACAGGCAAGAACCCUUUCUUGGACUGAUCCAUUUUGAACUUCUUCAAAAUCUUAUCAAGAUAUGUGCUUUGUGAAAGACCUAUGAGGCGUCUUGAUCUAUCCCUAUAGAUCUUGAUGCCUAAUAUAUAAGCAGCUUCUCGAAGGUCCUUCAUUGAAAAACUCUUAUUCAAGUAGGCCUUAAUGCUGUCCAAAAGUUCUAUAUCAUUUCCCAUCAAAAGUAUGUCAUCUACAUAUAGUAUGAGAAAUGCUAUAGAGCUCCCACUCACUUUCUUGUAAACACAGGCUUCUCCAUAAGUCUGUGUAAACCCAAACGCUUUGAUCAUCUCAUCAAAACGAAUGUUCCAACUCCGAGAUGCUUGCACCAGCCCAUAAAUCGAGCGUUGGAGCUUGCACACCUUGUCAGCAUUUUUAGGAUCGACAAAACCUUCCGGCUGUAUCAUAUACAAUUCUUCCUUAAGGAAACCAUUAAGGAAUGCCGUUUUGACGUCCAUUUGCCAAAUUUCAUAAUCAUAAAAUGCGGCAAUUGCUAACAUGAUUCGGACGGACUUCAGCUUCGCUACCGGUGAGAAAGUCUCAUCGUAGUCAACCCCUUGAACUUGUCGAUAACCCUUAGCGACAAGCCGAGCUUUAUAGAUGGUCACAUUACCAUCCGCGUCUGUCUUCUUCUUAAAGAUCCAUUUAUUUUCUAUGGCUCGCCGUUCUACGGGCAAGUCAGUCAAAGUCCAUACUUCGUUUUCAUACAUGGAUCCUAUCUCGGAUUUCAUGGCUUCUAGCCAUUUGUCGGAAUCCGGACCCGCCAUCGCUUCUUCAUAGUUCGAAGGUUCACCGUUGUCUAACAACAUGAUUUCCAAGAUAGGGUUGCCGUACCAUUCUGGUGCGGAACGUGUCCUCGUGGACCUUCGAAUUUCAGUAGGAGCUUGAUCAGAAGUAUCUUGAUCAUUAUCAUUAACUUCCUCUCUAGUCGGUGCAGGCACCUCAGGAACAUUUUCUUGAGUUGCGCCAUUUUCCGGUUCAAGAGGUAAUACUUCAUCAAGCUCUACUUUCCUCCCACUUACUUCUUUCGAGAGAAACUCUUUCUCCAGAAAGGACCCAUUCUUGGCAACAAAGAUCUUGCCUUCGGAUCUGAGGUAGAAGGUGUACCCAACAGUUUCUUUAGGGUAUCCUAUGAAGACGCAUUUUUCCGAUUUGGGUUCGAGCUUUUCAGGUUGAAGUUUCCUGACAUAAGCAUCGCAUCCCCAAACUUUUAGAAAUGACAGCUUAGGUUUCUUCCCAAACCAUAAUUCAUACGGUGUCGUCUCAACGGAUUUCGACGGGGCCCUAUUUAAAGUGAAUGCGGCAGUCUCUAAAGCAUAGCCCCAAAAAGAUAGUGGUAAAUCGGCAAGAGACAUCAUAGAUCGCACCAUAUCUAAUAGAGUGCGAUUACGACGUUCGGACACACCAUUACGCUGAGGUGUUCCAGGCGGCGUGAGUUGUGAAACUAUUCCACAUUUUCUUAAGUGUGUACCAAACUCGUGACUCAAGUAUUCUCCUCCACGAUCUGAUCGUAGAAACUUGAUUUUCCUGUCACGUUGAUUCUCAACUUCACUCUGAAAUUCCUUGAAUUUUUCAAAGGUCUCAGACUUGUGUUUCAUUAAGUAGACAUACCCAUAUCUACUCAAGUCAUCAGUGAGGGUGAGAACAUAACGAUAGCCACCGCGAGCCUCAACACUCAUUGGACCGCACACAUCAGUAUGUAUGAUUCCCAAUAAGUUGGUUGCUCUCUUCAUUGUUCCUGAGAAUGGAGUCUUGGUCAUUUUACCCAUGAGGCAUGGUUCGCACGUGUCAAAUGAUUCGUAAUCAAGAGACUCUAAAAGUCCAUCAGCAUGGAGCUUCUUCAUGCGUUUGACACCUAUGUGACCGAGGCGGCAGUGCCACAAGUAUGUGGGACUAUCACUAUCAAUCUUACAUCUUUUGGUACUUACACUAUGAAUAUGUGUAGCAUUACGCUCGAGAUUCAUAAAGAAUAAACCAUUCACCAUCGGAGCAUGACCAUAAAACAUAUCUCUCAUAUAAAUAGAACAACCAUUAUUCUCGGAUUUAAAUGAGUAGCCAUCUCGAAUUAAACGAGAUCCUGAUACAAUGUUCAUGCUCAAACUUGGCACAAAAUAACAAUUAUUGAGGUUCAAAACUAAUCCCGUAGGUAAAUGUAGAGGUAGCGUGCCGACGACGAUCACAUCGACCUUGGAACCAUUCCCGACGCGCAUCGUCACCUCGUCCUUCGCCAGUCUCCGUUUAUUCCGCAGCUCCUGUAGUGUGUUACAAAUAUGAGCAACGGCACCGGUAUCAAAUACCCAGGAGUUACUACGAUUACUGGUAAGGUACACAUCAAUUACAUGUAUAUCAAAUAUACCUUUGGUUUUGCCGGCCUUCUUGUCCGCUAAGUACUUAGGGCAGUUCCGCUUCCAGUGACCACUUUCCUUGCAAUAAAAACACUCAGUCUCGGGCUUGGGUCCAUUCUUUGGCUUCUUCCCGGCAGCUUGCUUGCUGGGCGCGGAAACUACCUUGCCGUCCUUCUUGAAGUUCUUUUUACCCUUGCCCUUCUUGAACUUAGUGGUUUUAUUGAUCAUCAACACUUGAUGUUCCUUCCUGACUUCUACCUCUGCUGAUUUCAGCAUAGCAAAUACUUCAGGAAUGGUCUUUUCCAUCCCCUGCAUAUUGAAGUUCAUCACAAAGCUCUUGUAGCUUGGUGGAAGCGACUGGAGGAUUCUGUCAAUGACCGCAUCAUCCGGGAGAUUAACUCCCAGCUGAGUCAAGCGGUUAUGCAACCCAGACAUAGUGAGUAUGUGCUCACUGACAGAACUGUUUUCCUCCAUCUUACAGCUGAAGAAUUUGUCGGAGACUUCAUAUCUCUCGACCCGGGCAUGAGCUUGGAAAACCAUUUUCAGCUCUUCGAACAUCUCAUAUGCUCCAUGUCUCUCAAAACGCUUUUGGAGCCCCGGCUCUAGGCUGUAAAGCAUGCCGCGCUGAACGAGGGAGUAGUCAUCGAAACGUGCCUGCCAAGCGUUCAUAACGUCUUGUUCCGCAGGGAGAACGGGUGCGUCACCAAGCGGUGCUUGUAGGACAUAAUCUUUCUUGGCAGCUAUGAGGAUGAUCCUCAGGUUCCGGACCCAGUCCGUAUAGUUGCUGCCAUCGUCUUUCAGCUUGGUUUUCUCUAGGAACGCGUUGAAGUUGAGGACUACGUUGGCCAUUUGAUCUACAAGACAUAUUGUAAAAAUUUAGACUAAGUUCAUGAUAAUUAAGUUCAUCUAAUCAAAUUAUAAUGAACUCCCACUCAGAUUUGACAUCCCUUUGGUCAUCUAAGUGUUACACGAUCCGAGUCGACUAGGCCGUGUCCGAUCAUCACGUGAGACGGACUAGUCAUCGUCGGUGAACAUUCUCAUGUAGAUCGUAUCUUCCAUACGACUCGUGUUCGACCUUUCGGUCUCCGUGUUCCGAGGCCAUGUCUGUACAUGCUAGGCUCCUCAAGUUAACCCUAAGUGUUUUCGCUGUGUAAAACUGUCUUACACCCGUUGUAUGUGAACGUAAGAAUCUAUCACACCCGAUCAUCACGUGGUGCUUCGAAACGACGAACUGUAGCAACGGUGCACAGUUAGGGGAGAACACUUCUUGAAAUUUUGUAAGGGAUCAUCUUAUUUACUACCGUCGUUCUAAGUAAACAAGAUGCAUAAAACAUAAUAAACAUCACAUGCAAUUAUAUAAAGUAGUGACAUGAUAUGGCCAAUAUCAUAUAGCUCCUUUGAUCUUCAUCUUCGGGGCUCCAUGAUCAUCUUGUCACCGGCAUGACACCAUGAUCUCCAUCAUCAUGAUCUCCAUCAUCGUGUCUUCAUGAAGUUGUCACGCCAACGACUACUUCUACUUCUAUGACUAACGCGUUUAGUAAUAAAGUAAAGUAGUUUACAUGGCGUUCUUUAAUGACACGCAGGUCAUACAAAAAAUAAAGACAACUCCUAUGGCUCCUGCCGGUUGUCAUACUCAUCGACAUGCAAGUCGUGAUUCCUAUUACAAUAGCAUGAACAUCUCAUACAUGACAUGUAGAUCAUUCAUCAUUCAUCACAACUUUGGCCAUAUCAUAUCACAAAGCACUUGCUGCAAAAACAAGUUAGACGUCCUCUAAUUGUUGUUUGCAAGUUUUACGUGGCUGAAGUAGGGUUCUAGCAAGAACGUUUUCUUACCUACGUGAAACCACAACGUGAUUUGUCAACUUCUAUUUACCCUUCAUAAGGACCCUUUUCAUCGAAUCCGCUUCAACUAAAGUAGGAGAGACAGACACCCGCCAGCCACCUUAUGCAACUUGUGCAUGUUAGUCGGUGGAACCGGUCUCACGUAAGCGUACGUGUAAGGUUGGUCCGGGCCGCUUCAUCCCACAAUACCGCUGAAGCAAGAUAAGACUAGUAGCGGCAAGAAAGUUGACAAAUCUACGCCCACAACCAAUUGUGUUCUACUCGUGCAAGAAGAACUACGCAUAGACCUAGCUCAUGAUGCCACUGUUGGGGAACGUUGCAGAAAACAAAAAUUUUCCUACUCGUUUCACCAAGAUCAUCUAGGAGUUCAUCUAGCAACGAGUGAAUAGAUGCAUCUACAUACCUUGUAGAUCGCGAGCGGAAGCGUUCAAAGAACGGGGAUGAUGUAGUCGAACACGACGUGAUUCGAAUCACCGGAGAUCCUAGCACCGAACGGACGGCACCUCCGUGUUCAACACACGUACGGAACAGCCACAUCUCCUCCUUCUUGAUCCAGCAAGGGAGGGAGGAGAGGUUGAGGGAGAUGGCACCAGCAGCAGCACGACGGCGUGGUGUUGAUGGAGCUGCAGUACUCCGGCAGAGCUUCGCUAAGCAAUAAGGAGGUGGAGGAGGUGUUGGGGAGGGAGAAGGAGGCAACCAAAGGCCAAGGACUCAAGGUGUGAAGUCCCUCCUCUCCCCCACUAUAUAUAGGGGUGCCAAGGGGGGGUGGCCGGCCCUAGGAGAUCCAAUCUCCUAGGGGGUGCGGCGGCCAAGGGGGGUUUCCCUCCCCCCCAAGGCACCUAGGAGGUGCCUUCCACUAGUAGGACUCCUCCCCCUUGGAAACCCUAGGCGCAUGGGCCUAGUGGGGCUGGUGCCCUUGGCCCAAGCAGGCCAAGGCGCACCCCCUACAGCCCAUGUGGCCCCCGGGGAUGGGUGGCCCCACCCGGUGGGCCCCUGGGACCCCUCCGGUGGUCCCGGUACAAUACCGAUAACCCCGAAACUUGUCCCGAUGCCCGAAACAGGACUUCCCAUAUAUAAAUCUUUACCUCCGGACCAUUCCGGAACUCCUCGUGACGUCCGGGAUCUCAUCCGGGACUCCGAACAACAUUCGGGUUACUGCAUAUACAUAUCCCUACAACCCUAGCGUAACUGAACCUUAAGUGUGUAGACCCUACGGGUUCGGGAGACAUGUAGACAUGACCGAGAUCGCUCUCCGGUCAAUAACCAACAGCGGGAUCUGGAUACCCAUGUUGGCUCCCACAUGCUCCACGAUGAUCUCAUCGGAUGAACCACGAUGUCGAGGAUUUAAUCAACCCCCUAUGCAAUUCCCUUUGUCAAUCGAUAUGUUACUUGCCCGAGAUUCGAUCGUCGGUAUCCCAAUACCUCGUUCAAUCUUGUUACCGGCAAGUCACUUUACUCGUACCGUAAUGCAUGAUCCCGUGACCAAACACUUGGUCACUUUGAGCUCAUUAUGAUGAUGCAUUACUGAGUGGGCCCAGUGAUAUCUCUCCGUCAUACGGAGUGACAAAUCCCAGUCUCGAUCCAUAUAAAACAAUAGAUACUUUCGGAGAUACCUGUAGUGCACCUUUAUAGUCACCCAGUUACGUUGUGACGUUUGAUACACCCAAAGCACUCCUACGGCAUCCAGGAGUUAUACAAUCUCAUGGUCGAAGGAAGAGAUACUUUGACAUUGCAAAACUCUAGCAAACGAACUAUACGAUCUUGUGCUAUGUUUAGGAUUGGGUCUUGUCCAUCACAUCAUUAUCCUAAUGAUGUGAUCCCGUUAUCAAUGACAUCCAAUGUCCAUAGCCAGGAAACCAUGACUAUCUAUUGAUCAAUGAGCUAGUCAACUAGAGGCUUACUAGGGACAUGUUGGUGUCUGUUAUUCACACAUGUAUUACGAUUUCCGGAUAACACAAUUAUAGCAUGAAUAAAGACAAUUAUCAUGAACAAAGAAAUAUAAUAAUAAUGCUUUUAUUAUUGCCUCUAGGGCAUAUUUCCAACACUGUAUGGUGACCACACCCUGGUUCUUCCAAGCCGUGCUCCGGAGGUUGUCAAGUAUGACCCUCGGAUUGACCUGGAAAGGGGACAGGAGGCGCCCCACCACCAGGAAUCCGCUGACGGCCUUGCGGGUAGCCUCCAUGUGAAUGACAAGAGGCCGACGAAGAGAGGAACCAGCUUGGAAAAUGGCCGGCGAUGAGCCCCCUCCCUCCAUGGCGUCCAUCACCCUCCUGGAACCCACUCCACUCACAAGUUUCUUCCCCACCGCACUACUCACAUUCUCUCCCUGACCCGCCAUGGAACACUUCACUAGGCCGCCACAAGGAAUGGAAGGAGCAGAGAACAAGUGAUACUGCAAUGGUGAGGAACCUGAAGAAAGACAACCUCUCCCGUACCCACAACUACAGCAAGCCAUGGUCCCUGUCGGAGUAAUGGGCCAUGGGUAGGCCAACCCGAGCCCCAUAACCUUUCAAGACAUCGGGGCAGGCUGCGCCCCUCAAGACCACAGGGUGAAGAGUCGCCUCCUGGGGAGUCUACGGCAAGGCGGCCGACUGCCCGCUCACGGCCGAGUCCCAGGGGUGACUUCUAGAGAAGCCGGCUUUGGGGAGUCGGCCGGCGACUCCAACAAACCGUGACCUCAUCGAAGGGGACGGGGCAGGGGCGUGGCUACAAUGAAGCCCACUCCCCGCCCCUUACCAAGGGCAGGCAUGGCUACAGCACGCCGUACUUGGGAAGAUCUUCCUGCGGCGUGGCACUGUUGCCCGGCCGGCCCUGACAUCAGCACCACUGUACCGGGUCCUGCGCCCACGACAGCUUGUCUGUACGGCCUGGAGGCAGCGGGGCCCACCAGUCAGCGAGACCUCGGGAGACGGCGGGAGAACCGCCAGUCGGACCCAUCGGGAGUCGGCCCGGGGGAGUCGGCCGAGCCCUCCCCCAGGGCCCACGCGCCAUUAAUCAAGAAGAGAUGGGGAGUGGCCACAGUGACCGCCUGCCAGGCGGCGGGGCUGUUGCCACGACCCCAUGACCAAGCUUGCGUCAUCAGGAGCACGACUACAGUAAUCAACAGCCGGCAAGACCCGCCCGUGACGGACGCAACCUGUCGGCUCCGUACCAGACUAGUCGGCGGGGCCCAGCAGUCGGUAGGCCCCAGCAGUCGGCGAAGAAGUCGAAGGUCGGAGGCACUGACGGUUGGGCCCACGCCCAGUCGAAUUACCAUUGUACCCCUGGGGGGUAGGCCUAUAUAAACCCCCCAGGGCACCCAUGCAAAGGGUUGGAUCCCAGUAGUUCUAUACCAUACCAGAUAGAAGGAGAGAGCUAGCCUUGCCCUCUCCUACCACCAGACACAGCUCAAAGAGCAACCGUGUAAGCACUUGACCAUAGUGAUCAUGCGGAGAUCCCGCAGAGUAGCAGUAGGGGUAUUAUCUCUUCGGAGAGCCCCGAAGCUGGGUAAGAUUCGCCGGCGUGCAUGUCUUCGCCUCAUCCCGUUUCCAGGCACCGGCGACGUUUUACUCGCCCCCACCAUGUUAAGCCAUCCGUUGGCAUAUGUCGCACCAAACCCCCGACAUUUGGCGCCCACCGUGGGGCAUGGUGCACCGCCAUCCGGAGAUCUGUUCUGGACGGGAACCCUUUUCCUCCCUGGCGAGUGCAGCCAGCCAGGCAUGCCAGACGAAGUUUGCGUCGACGCGCUGCGCGGCGUUGAGACCGCCUGCGCAACCAGCUCCUUGGCCGAACUUGUCGACGAGGUACGCCUCUCCGACGAACCUGCAUCCGACACAGGCGCAGGCGGCCCCGAAAACCUCCUCGCGGGCCUCCUCGAUCAACUCCAUGUUUCCGGCGAGCUUGCCGUAGACUUGGAGUCCGUAGGCUCCACCGACCCGAUGUUGGUCGACUCCGACACCGCGUCGGUCGACGCGUUCCCCACCAACGUGGUGGUCUAUGACGAACCUCUCCCCCACGCGGAGAGCGACGGAAGCACCGUCACUGAGGUGCUGGUCAUCAGUCAUGACGAGUUCCCUGGCGGAGGGGCGCCCGACUCACUCGGCGUGGCGCUGCAAGACCUAGCUGCGCCCAUUCCGGAAGAUGCUGACGCAGAGAUGUCAGAAGCGCGCCACCUUUAGCUUGUUGAAGGCGCGAAGAAGCUGGCCAGCAUGACACGCUUGUCAGAAGCUUACCAGCGGGAGAUGGAUCACCUGUUGGCGGCUCGUCGGCCCCAGCAGGGCCCAGCCGCCUUGGCGCGGUUCAGCAGCGCGGCGUAGCCAUCACCAGCCUGUUUGGGGCUAGCCGCCCCGUGUAUGCCACGCCAGCGGAAUGUUGGGGAACGUAGCAUAAAUUCAAAAUUUUCCUACGUGUCACCAAGAUCUAUCUAUGGAGUCAUCUAGCAACGAGGGAGGAGUGGAUCUACAUACCCUUGUAGAUCACACGCGGAAGCGUUCAAGAGAACGGGGUUGAUGGAGUCGUACUCGUCGUGAUCCAAAUCACCGAUGAUCCUAGCGCCGAACAGACGGCACCUCCGUGUUCAACACACGUACGGAGCAGCGACGUCUCCUCCUUCUUGAUCCAGCAAGGGGGGAGGAGGGGUUGAUGGAGAUCCAGCAGCACGACGGCGUGGUGGUGGAAGUAGCGGGAUUCCAACAGGGCUUCGCCAAGCGCUGCGGGAGGAGGGAGAUGUGUCAUGGGAGGGAGAGGGAGGCGCCAGAGCUUAGGUGUGGUUGCCCUCCCUUCCCCCCACUAUAUAUAGGGCCAAGGGAGAGGGGGGGGGGGCGCAGCCUUGGCCCUUCCUCCAAGGAAGGGUGCGCCCAGGGAGGAGUCCAUCCUCCCUAAGGCACCUAGGAGGUGCCUCCCCCCUUUAGGACUCUUUCUUUCCCUUAUCUCUUGGCGCAUGGGCCUCUUGGGGCUGGUGCCCUUGGCCCAUAUAGGCCAAGGCGCACACCCCUACAGCCCAUGUGGCCCCCCGGGGCAGGUGGACCCCCGGACCCCUUUCGGCACUCCCGGUACAAUACCGAUAAUGCGCGAAACUUUUCCGGCGACCAAAACAAGACUUCCCAUAUAUAAAUGUUUACCUCCGGACCAUUCCAGAACUCCUCGUGACGUCCGGGAUCUCAUCCGGGACUCCGAACAACUUUCGGGUUACCGCAUACUAAUAUCUUUAUAACCCUAGCGUCACCGAACCUUAAGUGUGUAGACCCUACGGGUUCGGGAGACAUGCAGACAUGACCGAGAUGACUCUCCGGUCAAUAACCAACAGCGGGAUCUAGAUACCCAUGUUGGCUCCCACAUGUUCCACGAUGAUCUCAUCGGAUGAACCACGAUGUCAAGGACUUAAUCAAUCCUGUAUACAAUUCCCUUUGUCUAGCGGUACGAUACUUGCCCGAGAUUCGAUCGUCGGUAUCCCGAUACCUUGUUCAAUCUCGUUACCGGCAAGUCUCUUUACUCGUUUUGUAACACAUCAUCCCAUGAUCAACUCCUUGAUCACAUUGUGCACAUUAUGAUGAUGUCCUACCGAGUGGGCCCAGAGAUACCUCUUCGUUUACACGGAGUGACAAAUCCCAGUCUCGAUUCGUGCCAACCCAACAGACACUUUCGGAGAUACCUGUAGUGUACCUUUAUAGCCACCCAGUUACGUUGUGACGUUUGGCACACCCAAAGCACUCCUACGGUAUCCGGGAGUUGCACAAUCUCAUGGUCUUAGGAAAUGAUACUUGACAUUAGAAAAGCUUUAGCAUAUGAACUACAUGAUCUUGUGCUAGGCUUAGGAUUGGGUCUUUGUCCAUCACAUCAUUCUCCUAAUGAUGUGAUCCCGUUAUCAAUGACAUCCAAUGUCCAUGGUCAGGAAACCGUAACCAUCUAUUGAUCAACGAGCUAGUCAACUAGAGGCUUACUAGGGACAUGGUGUUGUCUAUGUAUCCACACAUGUAUCUGAGUUUCCUAUCAAUACAAUUCUAGCAUGGAUAAUAAACGAUUAUCAUGAACAAGGAAAUAUAAUAAUAACUAAUUUAUUAUUGCCUCUAGGGCAUAUUUCCAACAGUCUCCCACUUGCACUAGAGUCAAUAACUAAUUUAUUAUUGCCUAUCGUCAUGUGAUUAACACUCACAGGUCAUAUCGCCAUGUGACCAACAUCCAAAGAGUUUACUAGUGUCACUAAACUAGUUCACAUCAUCAUGUGAUUAAGACUCAAUGAGUUCUGGGUUUGAUCAUGUUUUGCUUGUGAGAGAGGUUUUAGUCAACGAGUCUGCAACAUUCAGAUCCGUAUGUACUUCGCAAAUCUCUUGGUCAUAUUAUAAAUGUUGCUUCCAUGCUCCACUUGGAGCUAUUCCAAAUGGUUGCUCCACUAUGCGGAUCCGGUUUGCUACUCAGAGUCAUUCAGAUAGGUGUUAAAGCUUGCAUCGAUGUAACCCUUUACACCGAACUCUUUAUCACCUCCAUAAUCGAGAAACAUGUCCUUAUUACUCCAAGGACAAUUUUUUGAUCGCUAUAUAGUGAUCCACUCCUGGAUCACCUUUGUACCCUCUUGCCAAACAUGUGGCAAGGCACACAUCAGGUGCGGUACUUAGCAUGGCAUACCGUAUAGAGCCUAUGACAAAAGCAUAGGGGACGACAUUCGUCCUUUCUCUUUCUUCUGCCGUGGUCGAGCUUUAAGUCUUAACUUCAUACCUUACAACUCAGGCAAGAACGCCUUCUUUGACUGAUCCAUCUUGAACACCUUCAAGAUCAUGUCAAGGUAUGUGCUCAUUUGAAAGUACCAUUAAGCGUUUUGAUCUAUCCUUAUAGAUCUUGAUGCUCAACGUUCAAGUAUCUUAAUCCAGGCUUUCCAUUGAAAAACACUUUUCAAAUAACUCUGCAUGCUUUCUAGAAAUUCUACAUCAUUUCCGAUCAACAACAUGUUAACAACACAUACUCAUCGGAAAUUCUAUAGUGCUCCCACUCACUUCUUUGGAAAUACAAGUUUCUCAUAAACUUUGUAUACACCCAAAAUCUUUGAUCAUCUCAUCAAAGCAUACAUUCCAACUCCGAGAUGCCUACUCCAGUCCUUAGAAGGAUUGCUGAAGCUUUGCAUACUUAUUAGCAUCUUUCAGGAUUGACAAAACCUUCCGGUUGUAUCACAUACAACCUUUCCUCAAGAAAAUCGUCGAGGAAACAAUGUUUUGACAUCCUAUCUGCAAGAUUUCAUAAAUAAUGCAGUAAUCGCUAAUAUAAUUCCAACAGACUCUUAGCAUCGCUACGAGUGAGAAAGUCUCAUCAUAGUCAACUCCUUGAACUUGUCGGAAAAAAUCUUAACGACAAGUCGAACUUUCUUAAUGGUGAUACUUACCAUCAUUGUCCGUCUUCCUUUUAAAAUCCAUAUGUACCUAACAACCUUAUGACCAUCAAGUAGUUCUUCCAAAGUCUACACUUUGUUUUCAUAUAUGGAUCCUCUCUCGGAUUUUAUGGCCUCAAGCCAUUUAUCGGAAUCCGGGCCCACCAUCGCUUCUCCAUAGCUCGUAGGCUCAUUGUUGUCUAGAAACAUGACUUCCAAGACAGGAUUACGUACCACUCUGAAGUAGUACGCAUCCUUGUCAUCCCACGAGGUUUGGUAGUGACUUGAUCCGAAGUUUCAUGAUCAAUAUCAUAAGCUUCCACUUCAAUUAGUGUAGGUGCCACAGGAACAACUUCCUGUGCCCUGCCACACACUAGUUGAAGAGACGGUUCAAUAACCUCAUCAAGUCUCCACCAUCCUCCCACUCAAUUCUUUAGAGAGAAACUUUUCCUCGAGAAAGUACCUGAUUCUAGAAACAAUCCCUUAUUGCUUUCGGAUCUGAGACAGGAGGUAUACCCAACUGUUUUGGGUGUCCUAUGAAGAUGCAUUUUAUCCGCUUUGGGUUCGAGCUUAUCAAUCCUGAAACUUUUUCACAUAAGCGUUGCAGCCCCAAACCUUUAAGAAACGACAACUUAGGUUUCUCUAAACCAUAAUUCAUACGGUGUCAUCUCAAUGCAAUUACGUGGUGCCCUAUUUAAAGUGAAUGUGGUUGUCUCUAAUGCCUAACCCAUGGACAAUAGUGGUAAUUCGAUAAGAGACAUCAUGGUAUGCAUCAUAUCCAAUAGGGUGCAGUUAUGAUGUUCGGACACACCAUCACACUAUGGUGUUCCAGGCUGUAUUAGUUGUGAAACAAUUUCCACAAUGUCUUAAUUCUGUGCCAAACUCGUAAUUCAGAUAUUCAUCUCUAUGAUCAUAUCAUAGAUAUUUUAUCCUCUUGUCACGACGAUCUUUCAACUUCACCCUGAAUUUACUUGAACCUUUCAAUAAUUCAGACUCAUGAUUCAUCAAGUAAAUAUACUCAACAUCUACUCAAAUCAUCUGUGAAGCAAGAACAUAACGAUAUCCACUACAUGCCUCGGCACUCAUUGGACUGCACACAUCAAAAUGUAUUACUUCCAACAAGUUGCUUUCUAGUUCCAUUUUACUGAAAACGAGGCUUUCAGUCAUCUUGCCCAUGUGGUAUGAUUUGCAUGUCUCAAGUGAUUCAAAAUCAAGUGAGUCCAAACGGUCCAUUUGCAUGGAGUUUCUUCAUGCAUAUACACCAAUAGACAUGGUUCGCAUGUCCCAAACUUUUCAAAAACGAGUGAGCCCAAAGAUCCAUCAACAUGGAGCUUCUUCAUGCAUUUUAUACCAAUAUGACUUACGUGGCAGUGCCACAAGUAGGUGGUACUAUCAUUACUAUCUUAUAUCUUUUGGCAUGAACAUGUGUAUCACUACGAUCGAGAUUCAAUAAACCAUUCAUUUUAGGUGCAAGACCAUUGAAGGUAUUAUUCAAAUAAAUAGAGUAACCAUUAUUCUCCUUAAAUGAAUAACCGUAUUGCGAUAGACAUAAUCCAAUCAUGUCUAUGCUCAACGCAAACACCAAUCUCGAUGGUAGAGGGAGCGUACGAUAUUUGAUCAACCUUGGAAAUACUUCCAACACAUAUCGUCAUCUCACCUUUUAGCUAGUCUCCGUUUAUUCCGUAGCUUUUAUUUCGAGUUACUAACACUUAGCAACCGAACCGGUAUCUAAUACCCUGGUGCUACUAGGAGUACUAGUAAAGUACACAUUAACAUAAUACAUCCAAUAUACUUCUAUCGACUUUGCCAGCCUUCUAUCUACCAAGUAUCUAGGGUAAUUCUGCUCCAGUGGCUGUUCCCUUUAUUAUAGAAGCACUUAGUCUCGGGUUUGGGGGGUUUCUUCACUAGAGCAGUAGCUGAUUUGCCGUUUCAUGAAGCAUCCCUUUUUGCCCUUGCCCUUCUUGAAACUAGUGGUUUCACAAACCAUCAACAAUUGAUGCUCCUUCUUGAUUUCUACUUUUGUGGUGUCAAACAUCGCGAAUAUCUCAAGGAUCAUCAUAUAUGUCCCUGAUACAUUAUAGUUCAUCACGAAGCUCUAGCAGCUUGGUGGUAAUGACUUCGGAGAAACAUCAAUAUCUCAUCUGGAAGAUCAACUCCCACUCGAUUCAAAUGAUUGUUGUACUUAGACAAUCUGAGCACAAGCUCAACAAUUGAUCUUUUCUCCUUAGUUUGUAGGCUAAGAAAAUCGUCGGAGGUCUUAUACCUCUUGACGUGGGCACGAGCCUGAAAUCCCAAUUUUAGCCCUCGAAACAUCUCAUAUGUUUCGCGAUGUUUCAAAACCGUCUUCGGUGCCUCAACUCUAAGCCGUUUAACUGAACUAUCACGUAGUUAUCAAAAUGUGUAUGUCAGAUGUUUGCAACAUCCAUAGACAACGUUCGAGGUUCAGCACACUGAGCGGUGCAUUAAGGACAUAAGCCUUCUAUGAAGCAAUGAGGACAAUCCUCAGUUUACGGACCUAGCCCACAUAAUUGCUACUAUCAACUUUCAACUAAAUUUUCUCUAGGAACAUAACUAAAUAGUAGAACUGAAGCGCGAGCUACGACAUAAUUUGCGAAGACCUUUUGACUAUGUUCAGGAUAAUUAAGUUCAUCUUAUGAACUCCCACUCAGAUAGACAUCCCUCUAGUCAUCUAAGUGAUUACAUGAUCUGAGUCAACUAGGCCGUGUCCGAUCAUCACGUGAGACGGACUAGUCAACAUCGGUGAACAUCUUCAUGUUGAUCGUAUCUUCUAUACGACUCAUGCUCGACCUUUCGGUCUCUUGUGUUCCGAGGCCAUGUCUGUACAUGCUAGGCUCGUCAAGUUAACCUAAGUGUUUCACAUGUGUUCCGAGGCCAUGUCUGUACAUUCUAGGCUCGUCAACACCCGUUGUAUUCGAACGUAAGAAUCUAUCACACCAGAUCAUCACGUGGUGCUUCGAAACGACGAACUUUCGCAAAGGUGCACAGUUAGGGGGAACACCUUCUUGAAAUUGUAAUGAGGGAUCAUCUUAUUUACUACCGUCGUUCUAAUCAAAUAAGAUGUAUAAACAUGAUAAACAUCACAUGCAAUCAAAUAGUGACAUGAUAUGGCCAAUAUCAUAUUGCUCCUUUUGAUCUCCAUCUUCGGGGCUCCAUGAUCAUCAUCGUCACCGGCAUGACACCAUGAUCUCCAUCAUCAUGAUCUCUAUCAUCGUGUCUUCAUGAAGUUGUCUCAUCAACUAUUACUUCUACUACUACAGCUAACGGUUAGCAAUAAAGUAAAGUAAUUACAUGACGUUUAUGUUGACACGCAGGUCAUAAAUAAAUUAAGACAACUCCUAUGGCUCCUGCCGGUUGUCAUACUCAUCGACAUGCAAGUCGUGAUUCCUAUUACAAGAACAUGAUCAUCUCAUACAUCACAUAUAUCAUUCAUCACAUCCUUUGGCCAUAUCACAUCACAUAGCAUACCCUGCAAAAACAAGUUAGACGUCCUCUAAUUGUUGUUUGCAUGUUUUACGUGGCUGCUAUGGGUUUCUAGCAAGAACGUUUCUUACCUACGCAAAGACCACAACGUGAUAUGCCAAUUGCUAUUUACCCUUCAUAAGGACCCUUUUCAUCGAAUCCAAUCCGACUAAAGUGGGAGAGACAGACACCCGCCAGCCACUUUAUGCAACUAGUGCAUGUCAGUCGGUGGAACCGGUCUCACGUAAGCGUACGUGUAAGGUUGGUCCGGGCCGCUUCAUCCCACAAUGCCGCCGAAUCAAGAUUGGACUAGUAACGGUAAGCAUAUUGAACAAAAUCAACGCCCACAACUACUUUGUGUUCUACUCGUGCAUAGAAUCUACGCAAUAGACCUAGCUCAUGAUGCCACUGUUGGGGAACGUAGCAUAAAUUCAAAAUUUUCCUACAUGUCACCAAGAUCUAUCUAUGGAGUCAUCUAGCAACGAGGGAGGAGUGGAUCUACAUACCCUUGUAGAUCACGCGCGGAAGCGUUCAAGAGAACGGGGUUGAUGGAGUCCUACUCGUCGUGAUCCAAAUCACCGAUGAUCCUAGCGCCGAACGGACGGCACCUUCGCGUUCAACACACGUACGGAGCAGCGACGUCUCCUCCUUCUUGAUCCAGCAAGGGGGGAGGAGAGGUUGAUGGAGAUCCAGCAGCACGAAGACGUGGUGGUGGAAGUAGCGGGAUUCCAACAGGGCUUCGCCAAGCGCUGCGGGAGGAGGGAGAUGUGUCAUGGGAGGGAGAGGGAGGCGCCAGGGCUUAGGUGUGGCUGCCCUCCCUUCCCCCCACUAUAUAUAGGGCCAAGGGAGAGGGGGGGGGGCGCAGCCUUGGCCCUUCCUCCAAGGAAGGGUGCGGCCAGGGAGGAGUCCAUCCUCCCUAAGGCACCUAGGAGGUGCCUUCCCCCUUUAGGACUCUUUCUUUCCCUUAUCUCUUGGCGCAUGGGCCUCUUGGGGCUGGUGCCCUUGGCCCAUAUAGGCCAAGGCGCACACCCCUACAGCCCAUGUGGCCCCCCGGGGCAGGUGGACCCCCGGACCCCUUUCGGCACUCCCGGUACAAUACCGAUAAUGCGUGAAAUUUUCCGGCGACCAAAACAAGACUUCCCAUAUAUAAAUCUUUACCUCCGGACCAUUCCGGAACUCCUCGCGACAUCUGGGAUAUCAUCCGGGACUCCGAACAACUUUCGGGUUACUGCAUACUAAUAUCUCUAUAACCCUAGCGUCACCGAACCUUAAGUGUGUAGACCCUACGGGUUCGGGAGACAUGCAGACAUGACCGAGAUGACUCUCCGGUCAAUAACCAACAGCGGGAUCUGGAUACCCAUGUUGGCUCCCACAUGUUCCAUGAUGAUCUCAUCGGAUGAACCACGAUGUCAAGGACUUAAUCAAUCCCGUAUACAAUUCCCUUUGUCUAGCGGUACGAUACUUGCCCGAGAUUCGAUCGUCGGUAUCCCGAUACCUUGUUCAAUCUCGUUACCGGCAAGUCUCUUUACUCGUUUCGUAACACAUCAUCCCAUGAUCAACUCCUUGAUCACAUUGUGCACAUUAUGAUGAUGUCCUACCGAGUGGGCCCAGAGAUACCUCUCCGUUUACACGGGGUGACAAAUCCUAGUCUCGAUUCGUGCCAACCCAACAGACACUUUCGGAGAUACCUGUAGUGUACCUUUAUAGCCACCCAGUUACGUUGUGACGUUUGGCACACCCAAAGCACUCCUACGGUAUCCGGGAGUUGCACAAUCUCAUGGUCUAAGAAAAUGAUACUUGACAUUAGAAAAGCUUUAGCAUACGAACUACAUGAUCUUGUGCUAGGCUUAGGAUUGGGUCUUUGUCCAUCACAUCAUUCUCCUAAUGAUGUGAUCCCGUUAUCAAUGACAUCCAAUGUCCAUGGUCAGGAAACCGUAACCAUCUAUUGAUCAACGAGCUAGUCAACUAGAGGCUUACUAGGGACAUGGUGUUGUCUAUGUAUCCACACAUGUAUCUGAGUUUCCUAUCAAUACAAUUCUAGCAUGGAUAAUAAACGAUUAUCAUGAACAAGGAAAUAUAAUAAUAACUAAUUUAUUAUUGCCUCUAGGGCAUAUUUCCAACACGGAGAACAUCCGAGCCGCCCAAGCAACGGCGGAUGAGGUGGACAAUUUCGAGGGCGAAGAGCGCCGCCUCAUGAUGGAGCGAGUCCAGUGGCUCCUCGACGCGGCCGCCGCGCAGAACGAGGCCAGCUGCCGCACGGAGGCGCCGCAGCGGCCAAACGACGACCCGCACUGAGAUCAAGGCGCGACGUCUCGGACGCCGACUGGCGGUGCCCGAGGAAGAAAGGACAAGGAGCCGGCUGUCAACCACAGUCGGACUCGGAUUACCAUAGAGCGUGACCGAGACGGCCACCCGAGAGCAGUGGAACGACGGGACGACUGUCCGCCUCCCCCUCCUUGCAAGGAGAGGCGAGUCUCCCCGCCGCUUGUUGACCAUCCGACUCUCGGUGACCGCCUUGGCCGCCGAGAGGGAGUUGGAGAGAAUGACGCCCGCCACCGGAUCGACCGACUUCACCGGUCCGUGGCGCUGGAAGAAGAAGACGAGCUGGGUCCGCCUUGUUUCGGGCCCCGCAUUCGGGACGAGCCCUUUCCCAGAGGGUUCACGCUCCCAAGAGACACGCCCAAGUAUACCGGCUCCGUGAAGCCGGAAGAUUGGCUAGUCGACUACUCCAUGGCUGUCAGCAUAGCAAACGGCAACAAGCGUGUCACCGUAAAGUACGUUCCGCUCAUGCUCCAGGGCACAGCCCAGACAUGGCUGAACAGCCUAAAGCCCCGCAGCAUCAAUACCUGGGUCGACUUCACUGAAGCAUUCGUCUGCAACUUCACCAGCACGUACAAGCGUCCUCCCAAGCCCCGUCAGCUCUCCUUGUGCGUGCAAGGUCCUGACGAGUCGACUCGCGACCACCUCACGCAUUGGGCUGAGCUCCGGAACUCCUGCGAGGGCAUGCACGAGGUGCAGGCCAUCGAGUACUUCACAGCCGGGUGCCGAGAAGGCACCCUCCUCAAGCACAAGCUCCUCUGCGACGAGCCAGAAAUCCUCGACGAGCUGCUGAUCAUAGCAGACAAGUACGCUACGGCCGACUCCUCCAUGAAGACGGAAAUUCAAAUCAGCACGACUGGCAAAGUAGCUCCUCAGGCUCCAAGAACUCCGGCGGCAGACGCCGGCCGGCGACAACAGCAGGGCGACAACAAGCGCAAGGCCCCGCAGCCGGCUUCCAGCAGCCGACAGGUCGCGAUCGUUGAAGCCCAGCAGCCAGAAGAGCAGCCUCCGCCCAAGCGACAGAAAGGCGGCAAGCCGAACUGGUUGCCGGUCUUCUCCUACGAGCAGACCUUGGAUGGACCUUGCAAGUUCCACAGCGGCGCGAAGCCGUCGAAUCACACCACCCGAAAGUGCCACUGGCUCACCAGGAUCGCCAAGGGAGACGACCUCCUGCCACCCCCGCCUGCUGGGCAGCCGCCUCCGCCCCAGCAGCCGGCAGUCAGGCCAGUCGGCGCAGUACAAGACGAAUACCCUGAAGAGCAUGGAGCCUACAUGGUGUUCACCAGUGUGGCUGAUGAUCGACGCAGCAGGCGGCUGCAGCGACAAGAGGUGAACGCAGUAGCCUCAGAGAUGCCAGAGUUCAUGCACUGGUCUGAGAGGCCCAUCAGUUGGAGCAGGGCUGACCACCCAGAAGUGAUGCCGAGUCUGGGCUCCUACGCCUUGGUCCUGGACGCCACCUUUGCCACGGACAAACGGGCCGCGCGUUUCUCGCGAGUUCUGAUAGAUGGGGGCAGCAGCAUCAAUAUCCUGUACAAGGACACCAUGGAGAAGUUAGGAAUCAAGCAGAGAUAGCUUCAGAACAGCCGGACUGUGUUCCACGGCAUUGUUCCUGGGCUUUCCUGCUCACCAAUCGGCAAGAUCCUGAUUGACGUCCUCUUUGGGGACAAAGAUCACUUCCGAAGAGAAUCUGUUUGGUUUGAGGUAGUGGACCUUGAGAUCCCAUACCAUGCGCUACUUGGCCGGCCCGCCUUGGCCAAGUUCAUGGUGGUCCCCCACUACGCCUACCUCAAAAUGAAGAUGCCCAGUUCCAGGGGAAUUCUGACCGUGGCCGGCGACUACCGGAAGUCAUCCGCUUGCCCGACCGAGAGCAGUCGGCUGGCCGAGUCCCUGGUGAUUGUAGCCAAGAAGUGACUCCUUGAGCGAGUUGUGGCGAUGGCCGGCAAGCAGCCGGAGAUAUCGCCCGACCCGAAGGAGUCGGAAGCCGAAGGUUCGUUCAAGCCGGCCAAAGAGACAAAGAAGAUACCCUUGGAUCUGGAGCGCCCAGAGAGGUACGCCGUCGUAGGUGCAAACCUCGACAGCAAAUAGGAAGGCGAGCUCGUUGAUUUCCUCCGUGAGAAUCGGGACAUCUUCGCAUAGUCUCCCAAGGACAUGCCAGGUGUACCGAUGGAUUUCGCCGAGCACAAGUUACACGUCCGAUCUGAUGCAAAGCCGGUCAGGCAGCCCCUGCGUCGCUUAUCAGAAGAGAAGAGAAGAGUUGUCGGAGAAGAGAUAGCCCAACUCCUAGCAGCCGGCUUCAUUAUGGAAGUUUUCUUCCCGGAGUGGCUGGCAAAUCCGGUCCUGGUGCUAAAGAAGAACAAGAAAUGGCGAAUGUGUAUUGACUACACGAGCCUCAACAAGGCCUGCCCCAAGGACCGAUUUGCUCUACCAAGAAUUGACCAGUUGAUAGACUCCACAGCCGGAUGCAAGUUGUUGAGCUUCUUGGAUGCAUACUCAGGAUAUCACCAGAUCAAGCUGAAUCCGGCUGACAGAUUGAAGACCGCCUUCAUCACGCCAUUUGGAGCAUUCUGCUACCUCACCAUGACGUUCGGCUUAAGGAAUGCCGGCGCCACCUUUCAGCGUUGCAUGCAGAAGUGCCUCCUCAAGCAGCUCGGCAGGAACGCCCACGUUUACGUGGACGACGUGGUGGUGAAGACGGAAAAGCGAGGAACACUGCUGGAAGACCUCAAGGAGACCUUUGAGAACCUGCGCCGGUUCCAGAUCAAGCUCAACCCCGAGAAGUGUGUCUUCGGAGUACCAGCCGGCCAGCUGCUAGGUUUCCUAGUCUCUAAACGCGGCAUAGAAUGCAACCCAGUAAAAAUCAAGGCCAUCGAGAGAAUGAAGGUACCCAGCCGACUGCUGGAUGUGCAGAAGUUCACCGGCUGCUUGGCGUCCAUCAGCCGAUUCAUCAGUCGGCUGGGCGAGAAAGCUCCCCCUUAUACCAACUCAUGAAGAAGACCACUUUUUUUCGAGUGGAACCAUAAGGCGGAUGAAGCUUUCCACUAGUUGAAGAAGAUGCUGACUACUCCACCCAUCCUGGCGGCUCCGACUCCCAAGGAACCUAUGCUCCUAUACAUCGCCGCCACCAGCCAAGUAGUCAGCACAGUCAUUGUAGUAGAGCGCAAGGAGGAAGGCAAGGCGCUACCUGUCUAGAGACCAGUAUAUUACCUGAGCGAGGUACUGUCGACCUCCAAGCAGAACUACCCCCACUACCAGAAGAUCUGCUAUGGCGUGCACUUUGCUGCCAAGAAAUUGAAGCCUUACUUUCAAGAGCAUCCAAUCACAAUGGUCUGCACGGCUCCACUUGCCGAGAUCAUCGGUAGCCGAGAUGCCUCUGGUAGAGUGGCCAAGUGGGCCAUAGAGCUGGCUCCUUACACCAUCUACUACCAGCCCCGCACCGCUAUCAAAUCACAAGCACUGGCUGACUUCCUCGUCGACUGGGCCGAGACCCAGUACCUGCCUCCAGCGCCUGACUCCACCCAUUGGCGGAUGCACUUCGACAGCUCCAAGAUGCGCACCGGCUUGGGAGUCGGCGUCGUCCUCACCUCUCCCGAAGGCAACAAGCUCAAAUAUGCACUGCAAAUCCAUUUUGCCGCCUCCAACAACGUGGCUGAGUACGAGGCGCUCAUUCACGGGCUCCGGCUUGCCAAAGAACUUGGCAUCCGCCGGAUCUUGUGUUAUGGCGACUCGGACUUAGUGGUCCAGCAGUCAUCUGGCGACUGGGACGCGAGAGACGCAAACAUGGCGAGCUACUGUUUCCUUGUGCAGCAACUCAGCGGGUAUUUCGAAGGGUGCGAGUUCCUCCAUGUGCCAAGAAACGACAACGACCAAGCAGACGCCUUGGCACGAAUUGGCUCUACCCGCCAAGCAAUACCAUCUGGCGUCGCCCUUCAACGCCUCCUCAAGCCGUCUGUCAAGCCUUCACCAGAAUCAGACUCCAUUUUUGUGCCAACUCCUCCCGAAGACGACGGAUCCGACUCCAGAGCUCCGGCAGUCGGAACGGGGACUUUGGCGGGUGACUCCAAAGCUGCCACAGUCGACCCCGGCCCGGGGACUGCGGUGACGGACUCGAAGAUUCCAGAACUUGGCCCAAGGACCGCGCCAGUCGGCCUGGGGACUUCAUCAGCCCAGCAAGCGGCUGUUGACUCUAGCCCGCCGCCUCCCAGCCCAGCCACCCUCGUCCAAGUCAAAGUUCUGGUAGUCGAAGAAAUAGCAGCACCCUCAUGGGCCCAGCGCAUCCUCAAAUUCCUGGUGAACAAAGAGCUACCAACUGAUGAGACCUCAGCUCGGCAAGUACAACGCCGGGCGGCACCCUAUGCCAUAAUCAACAGAGAGCUGGUCAAGCGCAACAUCACUGGUGUCUACCAGUGCUGCGUAGAGCCAGAGCAAGGCCAGGCGAUCCUCAAAGACAUCCAUCAAGGCGAAUGCGGCCACCAUGUGGCUUCAAGAGCACUCGUUGCCAAAGCUUUUCGGCAUGGUUUCUUUUGGCCGACUGCCUUGGAAGAGGCCAAGGAGUUGGUCCAAAAAUGGAAAGGGUGCCAGAAGUUCAGCUCCAAGCCACACCAGCCGGCUUCCACGCUCAAGACCAUCCCCAUUGCUUGGCCUUUCGCAGUUUGGGGUCUAGACAUGGUGGGACCAUUCAAGACAGCACGAGGUGGUUUAACUCACCUACUUGUCACAAUGGACAAGUUCACCAAGUGGGUGGAAGUGAAGCCAAUUAAGAAACUGAACGGUCCGACUGCCGUGACCUUCAUCACCGAUAUCACAAUUCGGUACGGCAUACCACACAGCAUCAUCACCGACAACGGCACAAACUUUGUCAAAGGCGCCUUGGCCCGUUUCUGCGCAACACAGGGCAUCUGACUGUACCUAGCGUCCGUCGCCCAUCCGCAGUCAAACGGCCAAGUGGAGCGGGCAAACGACCUCAUCCUGUCCGGCAUCGAGCCUCGGUUGAUCGAGCCUCUGGAGAGCUCGGCUGGCUGCUGGCUUGACGAGCUGCCAGUCGUCGUCUGGAGUCUAUGUACGACUCCAAACAAGUCAACCGGCUUCACGCCCUUCUUCCUCGUCUAUGGUGCCGAAGCCGUCAUCACAACGGACAUAGAAUUCAACUCCCCACGAGUCACCAGGUACACCGAGGAGGAAGCAGAAGAAGCACGACAAGACGGCGUUGAUUUGCUGGAAGAGGGCCGGCUGUUGGUACUCAGCCAGUCCAGCAUAUACCAGCAGAGCCUACGCCGAUACCACAACAGGAAGGUCAUGCCAAGAUCUUUCCAAGAAGGCGACCUUGUGCUCCGGCUGAUCCAGCGAACAGCCGGCCAGCACAAGUUGUCGCCGCCUUGGGAAGGCCCUUUCAUCAUCAGCAAAGUACUAUGCAACGAUUCCUACUACCUGAUCGACGCUCAGAAGCCCCGAGCAAGCAUGAGGGACGACUCCGGCAAGGAGACAGAGCGGCCAUGGAAUGCAAAUCUUCUCCGAAGAUUUUAUAGUUGAUGCAGUAUGUACCACGCUACCUUUUGUAUUAAAGUACCAAGACUUCGGCCCCCCCGAGGCGAGCUCGGGGACUGCCCUCUUUUAUCUGUAUGAUAAAAAUUAUGCCUACAAGUAUGUUACUCUUUGUCAUGCCGCUUGGCACCGGGCUCGACAAGUCGGCCCGGGGACUUGCCGCCUUGCACUAUGAAAUGCUUCCUGCAGCCGGACAAGUAGUGUGUAACACCUAAGCCGUCUUCUGUCAGAAGCCGCAGCUCACAGAGCGACUGUACGGUGGGCAGAGGUAAGGUAGAAUGGGUGCUCGCACGAAAAAUGGCUAAGGACUCAAAGCGUAAAACAUAGCUCAAGACGGCUUCCAGCCUUUCUCGCAAACCGACUCUCGGACAGUCGGAUUGUUGUUUUCUAUCCAACUUGCUCAAACAAUCUUGAAAUCGGCUAAGUACUUGCUUUCCCAAAGUAGCCUAGCACUUGAUCCAGCAACAGUUCACAGAGCGGCUGUCCGAUUGGCAAGACAGGCAACUAAGAGAAAGCGGCAAAGGAAAAUAGCCAAAAGAACAAUGAGCAAGAAAAGAUAUAUAUAUGACAUAGGCCCUUGGCCGAAUUGUCGAGUAGAGGUUCAAAAUACACCCCGCGGGUGGAAUUGUGCGAAUUAACAAGUUCUUCAAAAGACUACAGAAGCAGAUAAAACAAAAGACACAACGGCAGCUUAGGAGGCGGCAGACGGAUUCGGGGGGGUCGGAGGAGGCGCCAGCGUCAGGCGUCGGGGCGGUCGGCCGUCUAGUCUCGGCUUGAUCGCCUCCGGCAGUAGUCGGGUCGGUCGCACGCGGCUCAUUGCUGGAGGUGCGGUCGGGCUGAGGCUGGCCGUCUGCUCCGUCUUCUGGUGCCUCUGCCUCGCCCUCAUCCUCUGCCUCGUCCUCCUCCUCGAUGCUGGAGCCAAUCACCUCCGCCGAGUCUUCGCCGUAGUCUGGGUUCAUCCCAAACCACUCCGGCGGUACCUCCUCACCGUCUUCAGACUGCUCGGGGACGAAGAUACUCGUGUCGGCGUACUCGGCGAUCGCCGCAGCACGCUUGACGAGGGCGUCUUCCGCAGCCGCCAGCUCCGGCUGGGCCUCUGACCGAAGCGUGGUCAACCGGUCUAGAUCCAGCCCCGGGUACCACGCCUUGACGAACUCCAAGGCCCGGCGCGCUCCAGCCCAGGCCGAAGAGCCCUUCCAGGCCUCGAGGCGACCAGCCGCGACCUCCAACCAGUUGGCCGUCAGGCUGGGGGUGUGCGGAGCCUGCAUAUCUGGCCAAAGGGCGGAAAUCGCCUGGGCACCGACGCGCUGAAGCCGGCGCAGCAUCCGGUGAGCCGGCCGGAGGCGAGCCUCGAUGCUCAAGAUAUGCUCAUCAAGAGUCCGGGGGCAUCGGCGGUGAUCUCCGCGCCCUCCGCCCUCCGACUUUCACUAUCGGCCUUGAUGGCUUGGAUAGCGGCCUGCGACUGCCCAGGGAAGAAGUAUGCAAAAGACACGAAGAAACGAAGAAGCAAGUCAAAAACCAGGAGUUGGCACGAUCUAAGUCGGCAGCUCGAAGAAAGAAAAUAAAGAGACUCACCAUCAACGAUGUCUUCAAUCUCGUGGAAGCCGGAGGACAGCAGCGCCUCCUUGUCAGACCAGGAGGAGCGCUCGCUCGCGAACUCGGCCAAGAGGGCGGUUUCCGUCUCCUCCACCUCCCUCUGCGACUUCGCAAGCAGCUCCUUCUGCUCUGCCAACUGAGUGGCCAGCAGAUCGCGCUCUGUGGCGAGCCUCUGCACUCCUCCCCUUUGGCGAGCAGGGCGGAGUUGGCUUCGCUCGGCUGCUGUUGAAGUGCAGUGUUGGCUCCUGAAGGAAAGGAAGAAAGACAACAGUCGUCAAUAAAGUAGGUAGCCGGGGAGAUCCGGCCCGACUGCUCAGCAGUCGGCCCAAAUCUCGGGGACUACAGCCCGCGGGUGCACUAGUGCGCCCCCGCAGAGAAGAAAAAAGAGGGAAGGACUUACUCCGACUCUCCGCCAAGUCGGUGGUCCGCUUGCCCAGCUCUUCAACAUUACGGUUGAAGGCAGUGACGCGAAGGAUGUGGUAAUCCUGCAACAAGCAUUUCAGACAAAGUUAGUACCCAGAAGUUCAUCAAUUGGAGUUCCGGGCCGCCUGCUCAGUAGUCGGCCCAAAACUCGGGGACUACACCCAGUGGGUGCGCUGGCGCGCCCCCACAGAGAGGAACAAGAAAAACAAAGGCCCAAAGAAAAACAUACCCGGACGGCUGCCCGCGACGCUAGAAACGCCUUGGUGCAACUCUAGAGGGCGUUGCCCUCAGCGCGGAGCUUCGCCUGGACGUCCAGGAGCGCCCGGUUCAGCGGCCCUGUGCCGCCUCCUCGCACCCACCCAACAGGUGCGGCGCUCGUCGCUUCGGCGUCUGGAGCCGCCGAGAUGGCGGUGCCGGCUUCCAGGGGGGGUGCCGAAGUCGCCUUCUCCAGACGAUGGCGCGCCGGCGAGCCGACUUGGAGGAGUAGCCUCGCCACGGCCUCGUCUUUGGUCGGUGGCACCGGAGGGUCCACUGGCUGCUCGCCUUGCACGCCUUCAGACGGCGGCGGAGGCGGCAGCGGAACGUUCGCGUCCAGAGUAGAGGGCUCGCCAACUUCCCUCUCCUCAACGAGGUUCUCCCCGCUGGCUUCUCCAGUCUGCCCCGUGAACUCCGAGGGCGGCGGCGCAGAGUUCAGCAGGGUAACAAGCAAGGCCGACUUGCGGCGUGCGGCUUCCUCAGCCUGCUGCUUCGCCGCGGCGGCGGCUUCGGCCUCCGCUAGUUUUUUCUUAGCGAAGACCUCCGCCCUGUCGGCCUCCGCAUUCUCCAGGCGGAGGGCUUCUUCUUCGUUGUGCUUCUCCUGCGCAUUCCGCUCUGUCGCCUCCCGGAGGUUGGCAGCGGGGUCUAUCCGCCGAGUGGUGGCGGGCGUCUCCAUUGACCCCAUGACGGAGGCAGCGGCGACCCGCUCAAGAGAGAGGGGAGUCCUAAAGAAAGAGGGGCGAGCAGAGACUCAGACAAAACACGAAUAAAGAAUAAACUUUGAAGACAGAAUACUUACGCAGAGACCAACAACGGCUUCUUCACUUCCUUACGGAAGUGGAUGGCCUUCGCGGUUGCCUCGUCCCGCCGGGUCGCCACAGCCGAGCCCUUGGGCUUCUUCGGCCGGCUGCCGAACAAAGUCGGCACAGCCCGGCGCUUCUUCCCACCGCCUGGAGUGCCCAACGUGGCAGAAGAGCCCGCGCCCGGCUGGCUGGCUCCUGGCCGAUGGCGAGGGGCGACUCCUCCCUCGGCGUCAUCUUCAGGCCAGUCGGCGAAGGUAGCCGAGGGCCUGAAGUCGCCUAUCGUUCCUCCUCCUCCCUCGGCGUCGUCUUCCAGGGCCACCGCCCCCAGAUCGGGGUCGUCGACGUCGCUCUCCGCCCGGUCGGCGACGAACUCACGGGCCGGCCCCGAGGUGCCGGCUGGUGGGUGAAGAAGGGGAUUCUAACCAAAGCCGACUGAUCAGAACAAAACUCGGCAAGAAGAAGACAAUCCAAAGAAAGAAAAGAAAGGCGACUCACCACGGGCGGGGGGUUGGCGCGGGAGUAUGGCUCCUUGCCGAAUCGCCAGUCCUCCGGGAGCCUGCUGUCCGGGAGGUAGUUCACCAUAAGGGCCACCUCUUCGUGAGGCAUGUCCUUGGUGCACAUCCGACUCGGGUCGCGGCCCCCGCUCAUCUGGCAUAUCAUGUGAGGGCGGCCUUGGAGUGGGAGAACUCGGCGCGAGACGAAGGCGGCCAGCAGGUCCGGACCAGUCAGACCCUCUGACUGCGUCAGCACUCGGAGUCGCGUGAUGUCACCGGCUCCCGCAGACGUCAGCGACCUAGCCUGGUACGACCAGUUGGGCAGUCUGCCAGCUGGCGGGCCGGCUUCGAAAGCCGGCAGAUUGAUCCACUCGCCCCUAGUGGUGAUGUUCCUGGCGUAGAAGUAGGACCUCUGCCACAUCUUCACCGACUUCAACAGCGAGAUGGAGGGGAAGUGGUUGUCGGCUCCUGUCCUUCGCAUGGUGAUGAAGGCGCCACACUGAGCCGGCACGCCCGCGGCCUGGGUGCCUAGCUUGGAGAAGAAGAACUCCCCCAGAGUUCGAGGGUGGGGAGGACUCCGAGGAAGCCUUCGCACAGAGCCACGAAGGCGGACAGCAGCACUACUGUGUUGGGGUGAGGUGGUGCGGCUGGAGGCCGUAGAACUCCAUGAACGACCAGAAAAAGCUGCUCGCCGGCAGCCCCAGCCCGCGUAGGCAGUGCGAGCGGAAGAUGACCCGCUCGCCCUCCUGCAGGGCGGGGGAAAUCUCCCCCGCCGGCGCAAGACGCACCUGCACGCGAUCUUCGCCGGGAAGCCGACGGGUCCGGCGGAGGAACUUGAUAUGGUCUUCGUGGACUUCGGAGCCGUCCCAGGUGCCGGAGCGCACUGGGGGAGGCGCGGCAGCGGAGGAAGAACUCAUCGCGAGCUGUCACCACAGCGUUCGCCGGAGCCUGGGCGUGCGGCGGAGCGAAGAAGAGAAGAGGAAGCAGGAGAGCGAGGAGCUGCGAGGAGGAAGAAAGCAAGGGGUAGUGGGAAGGAGGGGUGCGCAUGCCCCCUCUUCCCCCUACUUAUAGCCCUGUGGGCUGCGAAGCCGAGGGGGCGGAUGUGGGGAUUUACUGCGCCCGCAACCCCACGACCCCCACGAUCCAUGUAAAGUUACUGCGCGCAGUAACUUCACGGGAAUCCCAACUGUCCACCGGGGCCGCAGCGGAUCCGCUCGGGCGCCGGGGCACGGUAGUGGCGGGCCCCGCCUACGGGCCUGUCCCGUCGCGCGCGUGGGCUGGCAGGACGGCCUGGCCACGUGCCCUCGCGCAACAAGCCAAGAAUGGGCGGCGGCCUGGAAGCUUAGCUAGCAUGCCACUUGAAAUCCCGCCGCGACGUUCGAACUACUAGCAAGUCGGAAUUGAGUGAGUCCGAGUUGGGCGAGUCCGACUCCUUCUAGUCAGCCCGGCAGCAGUCAAUCAAUACCAUGUGUUGAGCACCCGAAAAGAGAAACUGCUGAGGCUUCUCGGCCGAUCGUCCGCGGCGCCUCACCAGCUUCGGGGACUACUGUUGGAGUAAUGGGCCAUGGGUAGGCCAACCCGAGCCCCAUAACCUUUCAAGACAUCGGGGCAGGCUGCGCCCCUCAAGACCACAGGGCGAAGAGCCGCCUCCUAGGGAGUCUACGGCAAGGCGGCCGACUGCCCGCUCACGACCGAGUCCCAGGGGCGACUUCCAGAGAAGCCGGCUUUGGGGAGUCGGCCGGCGACUCCAACAAACCGUGACCUCAUCGAAGGGGAUGGGGUAGGGUUGUGGCUACAAUGAAGCCCACUCCCCGCCCCUUACCAAGGGCAGGCAUGGCUACAGCACACCGUACUUGGGAAGAUCUCCCUGCGGUGUGGCACUGUUGCCCGGCCGGCCCUGACAUCAGCACCACUGUACCGGGUCCUGCACCCACGAUGGCUUGUCUGUACGGCCUGGAGGCAGCGGGGCCCACCAGUCAGCGAGACCUCGGGAGACGGCGGGAGAACCGCCAGUCGGACCCGUCAGGAGUCGGCCCGGGGGAGUCGGCCGAGCCCUCCCCCGGGGCCCACACGCCAUUAAUCAAGAAGAGAUGGGGAGUGGCCACAGUGACCGCCUGCCAGGUGGUGGGGCUGUUGCCACGACCCCAUGACCAAGCUUGCGUCAUUAGGAGCACGGCUACAGUAAUCAGCAGCCGGCAAGACCCGCCCGCGGCGGAUGCGGCCUGUCGGCUCCGUACCAGACCAGUCGGCGGGGCCCACCAGUCGGCGGAGAAGUCGGAGGUCGGAGGCACUGACGGCUGGGCCCGCGCCCAGUCGAAUUACCAUUGUACCCCUGGGGGGUAGGCCUAUAUAAACCCCCCAAGGCACCCAUGCAAAGGGUUGGAUCCCAGUAGUUCUAUACCAUACCAGAUAGAAGGAGAGAGCUAGCCUUGCCCUCUCCUACCACCAGACACAGCUCAAAGAGCAACCGUGUAAGCACUUGACCAUAGUGAUCACGCGGAGACCCCGCAGAGCAGCAGUAGGGGUAUUAUCUCCCCGGAGAGCCCCGAAGCUGGGUAAGAUUCGCCGGCGUGCAUGUCUUCGCCUCAUCCCGUUUCCAGGCACCGGCGACCUUCUACUCGCCCCCACCAUGAUAAGCCAUCCGUUGGCAUAUGUCGCACCAAACCCCCGACAGUCCCCUUCCAUACAGCCUCAAAAAUAAAUUUGAUACAAUUAACCAUGAAUAAAAUGCCAUAAAAGGGUAGUUUCCUAAUAAUUACAGCACAAACAGCUCCCUCUCCCCCAGAUGAUCCACGAAUGGAAGGAUCUGGGAUCAAAAUCGGCUCCUCCUUCAAAUCCCGCUGACAUCUCAUACUGACACCCGGAAUGAAAGGAUGACCUGCUAAAUCUACAAAAUUAUCCUCUGCAACCCGAGCAUAAUUGAUAGUCUUAAUAAACAAGGAAAUAGAAACACCAUAAAUACGCCGUUUCCAAGUAAUAUCAGCGGAAUUUUCUCUAUUGCCUUUAGAGGAAUUAAAUUCCAGUGUUUCCAAAGGUAAUAUCGGAGUAAGUGACCACGGGUAGCCUAGCCGGCUCCCCCUGGCCUUUCUGAAAAAAUUACGAGCCGAUCCGGCUCUCAAGAAUCCAAGACAUGGGGCCGCCUUCCCCUGGCCGGCUGUCUCCUAGGCCGGCUAUUGGAAGGCGGCCCGACUUCAGCCCUCAUGAAGAAAGCCGCGGGAGGGCCAGCUCCGAGGAGCCGGCUGCGAGAAGGCCGACCCCAAGGAGCCGGCUCCCAUAAAGCAGUCAAGACCGUACCACCGAAGUCUGCAUCCACAUAACGGCGAUGUGACGGGGCGUGGCUACAGUCAAGCCUGCCACCCCCGAAUCCCGGAGCUCACCUGGCACAGUGCACCGUACGGGUGGCCAUGACCCGUCCAGCGCAGCACUGUUGCCACACUGACCCUGAUGUCAUCCACGACGGGCUACCAGUACGGCCCAUGGACGGUGGGCCCCGUCAGGCAGAGAGACACCUGAAGGCGGCCUGGCCUCCCCCAGUUGGCCCGAGACGGAGCCGGCUCUCUCCAGCCGGCUUGCCACCCCCUCGAAUGAGACGCCCCAUUAAGGAGACAAGACGCAGUGAGGCUACAGUGGUCACCCGCCGGACGGCAGCACUGUAGCCAUGCUUACCUCGGCGAAGCCCUUGUCACCAAGAUUGAGCAACAGUAACCAGCCACCGACAAGGCCCUGGACAGUGGGGCCUGCCUGUCGACCAGGGAGCCGGCAGCCGGCGGGACCCACCAGUCGGCGGGCCCCAGCAGCCGGCGCAGAAGCCGGAGAGCGAAGACACAGACGGCUGGGCCCCACGCCCAGCCGGAUUACCAUUGUACCCCCGGGAGGGUAGGCCUAUAUAAACCCCCCGGGACACCCAUGCAAAGGGUUGAUCCCUGCUAGUUUUAGACACCACGUAGGGAGGAGAAGAGAGCAAGCAGAGCCCUUCUUUCUCCUCUCGUCAAACAACUCAAGGAGCAUCGUGUAGCUACUUGUUCAUCUAGUGAUCACGCGGAGACCCCGCAGAGCAGUAGUAGGGGUGUUAUCUCCACGGAGAGCCCCGAAGCUGGGUAAGAUUCGUCGGCGUGCAUGUCUUCGCCUCAUCCCGUUUCCAGGCACCGGUGAUGUUUUACUGGCUCCCACAAUGAUAAGCCACCCGCUGGCAUAUGUCGCACCUACCACCCGACAUUUGGCGCCCACCGUGGGGCCAGGUGCACCGUCGUCCGGAAACCUGUUCUGGACGGGAACCCUCUUCCUCCCCCGCGAGCGUAGCCAGCCUGGCACGCCUGAUGGCGCUUGCCACGACGCGCUGCAAGGCGUCACCAACGCCUGCGCAGCGAGCAGCCUCGCUGAUCUCCUCGACAAGACCCUCAUCUCCGACGAGCUCGCCUCCGACACGGGCACCGACCACCUCGUCAACCUCCUCGGCCGGCUCCAUGUCCCUGGCGAGCCUGCUGUGGACUUGGAGUCGGUUGGCUCCACAGAUCCGAUGCCUGUCGACUCCGACACGGCCUAGUUCGACACCUUCCCCACCAACGUCACGAUCUACAAUGACCCGCUUCCCCGAGCCGAUGGCUGCGACGCUGUCACCACCGAGGUGAUGGUCAUCAGCCACGACGGCGCUGCUGAUGAGAGCGCCCACGACGCCCCGCACACGGCGGUCCACGACUUGUCCAUCCCCCUCCCGGCCGACACUGACGCUGAAGCACUAGAGGCUCACCGCCUCGCCUUCCUCGCGGAAGGCCGGAAAUUGGUUUCCAUGAGAUGCCUCGCUGAGGCCCACCGACGCGAGGCCGACCGCGCCGCCUUUGGCACGCCGCCCCCAGGCGGGCCCAGCCGGGUCGGCAUUGUCAGACAGCGCGGCGCUGUCGUUGCCGACACGUUAGGAGUCGACCGCCCAGUCUACGCCACUCCACUCGAGAACCUGCGCGCCGCCCAGGCGGCCGUAGACGAGCUAGACGGACUGGGGGCCGAAGAACUCCCCCACAUUACCCGACGCAUCCAGCAGCUGAUCGAUGCAGCCGCGCAGCGGCACGAAGCCGACGCCCGCGUGGAAAGCCCUCCCCCGCGCCGAGAUCACGGCGCGAUGUCCCGGACGCCGACUGCGGGUAGAGACCGCGCGCGGCGCGAGAAAGAGCCGGCUGCCAGCCGAAGCCAAACCCGGAUCUCCGUCGAGCGAGACGCAGAAGGCCACCCUCGGGCCGUGGAGUGGCAGGGCAACCCGCCUCCGCCCCGGCCCCAUGGAGAGAGGUAUCCCACCCCUCCGCCGGUGGCGCAUCCGACUCUCAGCGGCUGACUAGGUCGCCGCGAAGGAGUCGGCGAAAACGACGCCCGCCAUCGGAUCGACCGCCUGGCGCGAUCCCUGGCGCUGGAAGAAGAAGACGAUGUCGGUCCGCCUUGCUUCAGCCCCCGCAUCCGCGACGAGCCCUUCCCCAAAGGGUUCUCGCUCCCAAGAGACACGCCCAAGUACAACGGCUCCGUGAAGCCGGAAGAUUGGUUGAUCAACUACUCCACAGCGGUUAGCAUAGCCAAUGGCAACCGGCGCGUUGCCGUGCAGUACGUGCCCCUCAUGCUGCAAGGCACAGCGCGGACCUGGCUCAACAGCCUCAAACCACGCAGCAUCAACAGCUGGCUAGAUUUCACAGAAGCUUUCGUCCGCAACUUCACCAGCACCUACAAGCGGGCUCCCAAGCCCAGACAGCUCUCCUUGUGCGUACAAGGCCCCGCCGAGUCAACUCGCGACUACCCCACGCGUUUGGCCGAGCUCCGCAACUCUUGCAAAGGGGUGCACGAGGUGCAAGACAUCGAAUACUUCACAGCCGGGUGUCGAGAAGGCACCCUCCUCAAGCACAAGCUUCUCUGCGACGAGCCGACUACCCUCGACGAGCUUCUGGACAUAGUGGACAAGUACGCCACCGCCGACUCCUCAAUGAAGACCGAGCUCCGGGUAGAUGCAUCCGGAAAAGUACUCAACCCGGCACCCAAGACGCCGGCUGGGGAUUCCGGCCGACGCCCACACUCGAACGACCACAAGCACAAGGGCCCCGCGCCACCUCCCGCUAGUCGGCAGGUGGCCACAGUCGAAGACGUGCCGCCCGAAGGGCGGCCCGCGCCCAAGAAACCCAAGGGCGGCAGGCCGGCUUGGCAGCCGACCUUCUCCUACGAGCAAACUCUCAACGCCCCGUGCAAGUUCCACAGCGGCGCGAAGCCGUCCAACCACACAACCCGGAAGUGCCAUUGGCUCACCCGAAUCUGCAAAGGCGAAGGGCUCGCACCGCCUCCGCCUGCCGGCCCGCCGCCUUCGGUUCCGCCGGUGCCGGCCGCUCGGCCCGCAGUCGGAGCCGUGCAUGAUGAGUUCCCCGACGAGCAUGCCGCCUAUAUCAUCUUUACAAGCCAGCCCGAAGACCGGCGCAACAAAUGCCGAGAGAACGAGGAAGUCAGCAUGGUUGCUGCCAACCCCGUCGAGCACAUGCACUGGUCGGAAAAACCCAUCAGCUAGAGCCGGGCCGAUCACCCAGAGGUGAUGCCAUCUCCCGGCUCUUAUGCGUUGGUUCUGGAUGCCACCCUUGCAACGGACAGACGCGCCGCCUGCUUCUCCCGUGUGUUGAUAGACGGCGGGAGCAACAUCAACAUCUUGUACCGCGACACCCUGGAGAAGCUGAACGUCAAGACAAAGCAACUCAUGCCUACUCGAACAGUGUUCCAUGGCAUCGUACCCGGCCUGUCCUGUGCCCCCAUUGGCAAGAUCAAGAUUGAUGUACUUUUUGGGGACAAGGAGCAUUUCCGCCGGGAAGCGAUCUAGUUUGAAGUGGUGGACCUGGAGAGCCCUUACCAUGCAUUGCUUGGCCGACCUGCCUUGGCCAAAUUCAUGGCAGUUCCCCACUAUGCAUACCUCAAGAUGAAGAUGCCAAGCACCAAAGGCGUCAUCACCAUAGCCGGCGAUUACAAGAAGUCCUCUGAGUGCGCAGCAGCCAGCAGCCGGCUGGCCGAGUCCCUUGUGAUUGCCGAAGAAAAGAAGAUGUUGGACCGAGUCUGGCCAUAGCCGGCAAGCAGUCGGCCUUGUCCCCCGAUCCCAAGGAGCAUGAUGCUCAAGGAUCUUUCCAGCCGGCCAAGGAGACAAAGAAGAUACCUCUUGACCCCGAGCACCCAGAGAGGUUUGCCGUCAUUGGGGCAAACCUAAACAGCAAAUAGGAAGGUGAGCUCGCCGAUUUCCUCCAUGAGAAUCGGGACAUCUUUGCAUGGUCCCCCAAGGACAUGCCGGGCGUCCCGAAGGAAUUCGCCGAGCACAAACUACACGUCCGAGAAGACGCAAAGCCAGUCAAACAACCCCUUCGCCGACUGUCGGAGAAGAAACGCAGGAUUGUGGGAGAGGAGAUAGCCCGGCUUCUGGCAGUCGGCUUCAUUAUGGAAGUUUUCUUUCCAGAGUGGCUCGCCAACCCGGUCCUCGUGCUAAAGAAGAACAACAAGUGGCGCAUGUGUAUAGACUACACGAGCCUCAACAAGGCCUGCCCCAAAGACCCCUUUGCCCUGCCGAGGAUUGGCCAAGUGAUAGACUCCACGGCCGGAUGCGAGCUGUUGAGUUUCUUGGAUGCUUACUCAGGGUAUCACCAGAUAAAGUUGGAUCCGGCAGACCGCCUGAAGACCACCUUCAUCACGCCAUUCGGAGCCUUCUGCUACCUGACUAUGACAUUCGGCUUGAGAAAUGCCGGUGCCACUUUUUAGCGUUGCAUGCAGAAGUGCCUCCUCAAGCAACUCGGCAGGAAUGCCCACGUCUACGUAGACGACAUUGUGGUGAAGACGGAGAAGCGCGGCACCUUGCUGGAAGACCUCAAGGAAACAUUUGAGAACCUACGCCGGUUCCAAAUCAAGCUUAACCCCGAGAAAUGCGUGUUCGGAGUACCAGCCGGCCAGCUCCUAGGCUUCCUGGUCUCCAAACGCGGCAUCGAAUGCAACCCAGUAAAGAUCAAGGCCAUUGAGAGAAUGGCGAUUCCCACCAAACUUCGAGACGUCCAGAAGUUUACCGGAUGCUUGGCCUCCCUAAACCGCUUCAUCAGCCGGCUCGGAGAGAAAGCUCUCCCCCUCUACCGCCUCAUGAAGAAGACCACUCACUUCGAGUGGAAUGACCAAGCUGACCAAGCUUUCCACGAGCGGAAGAAGAUGCUGGCCACACCGCCAGUCCUAGCGGCGCCGACUGAGAAAGAGCCCAUGCUCCUCUACAUUGCCGCAACCAGCCGGGUGGUCAGCACCGUCAUUGUAGUCCAACGCCCAGAAGAAGGCCGAGCCCAGCCGGUCCAGAGGCCGGUCUAUUAUUUGAGCGAGGUGCUGUCUACCUCGAAGCAGAACUACCCGCACUACCAGAAGAUGUGCUAUGGCGUGUACUUUGCCGCCAAGAAGCUGAAGCCCUACUUCCAAGAGCAUCCCAUCACGGUCGUAUGCACCGCCCCGCUGGCCGAGAUCAUAGGCAGCCGGGAUGCAUCCGUCCGGGUGGCAAAAUGGGCCAUCGAGCUGGCCCCUUACACGAUCUUCUACCAGCCUCGCACCGCCAUCAAGUCCCAAGCAUUGGCCGACUUCCUCGUCGACUGGGUCGAGACCUAGUACAUACCGCCGGCUCCCGACUCCACUCAUUGGCGCAUGCACUUCGAUGGGUCCAAGAUGCGCACCGGCUUGGGAGCCGGCAUCAUCCUCACCUCUCCCAAAGGCGACAAGCUCAGAUACACGCUGCAAAUUCACUUUGCCGCCUCCAACAACGUGGCCGAGUACGAGGCGCUCAUACACGGGCUCCGGCUUGCCAAAGAACUCGGCAUUCGCCGGAUCCUAUGUUAUGGCGACUCAGACUUGAAGGUCCAGCAAUCAUCCGGCGACUGGGAUGCCAAGGACGCAAAUAUGGCAAGCUACCGCUUCCUCGUUCAGCAGACCAGCGGGUAUUUUGAAGGAUGCAAAUUCCUCCACGUACCGCGAGCCGACAACGAGCCAGCUGAUGCUCUGGCUCGAAUAGGCUCCACCCGGCAAGCAAUACCAACUGGCGUCUCUCUACAACGCCUCCUCAAGCCGUCUAUCAAGCCGUCUCCAGAGUCCGAUUCCAUCUUCGUGCCGCCUGACCCCGAUGCGGCCGGGUCUGGCUCGAAGAACCAAGCAGGUGGCCCGGGGACAUCGAUAGUCGGCCAGGGGGUAUCAGCAGGUGGCUCGGGGACUUCCGUAGUUACGCCCGACCCGGGGACUGCCUCACCCGGCUCGGGGACUGCGGUAGUCGGCCCGGAGACUACACCAACACAACAGGCGGCGGCCGACUCCAGCAUUUCACCACCCAGCCCGCCCGCCCUGCUCACAGUAGCCAUUUUGGCAAUAGAAGAAGUCACAGCUCCGUCAUGGGCUCAAUCCAUCCUCAACUUCCUAAUAAACCAAGAUCUGCCGGCUGACGAAGUAGAGGCAAGACAAGUCCAACGCCGAGCUGGAGCAUACACAAUCGUCAAUAGAGAGCUCGUCAAGUGCAGUGUCACUAGAGUCCUCCAGCGAUGCAUCGAGCAAGAGAAGGGCAUUGCAAUCCUCAGAGACAUCCACCAAGGAGAAUGUGGCCACCAUGUGGCCUCAAGAUCACUCGUCGCCAAAGCCUUCCGCCAUGGUUUCUUUUGGCCGACUGCUUUGGAUGACGCCAAGGAGUUAGUUAAAAAGUGCAAAGGGUGCCAACUCUUCAGCUCCAAGCAACACAUGCCAGCUUCAGCACUCAAGACCAUUCCCCUCACCUGGCCCUUCGCCGUUUGGGGACUAGACAUGGUGGGCCCAUUCAAGACAGCGCGCGGCGGCAUGACACAUCUGCUUGUCGCCGUGGACAAAUUCACCAAAUGGAUUGAAGCAAAGCCGAUCAAGAAGCUGAAUGGGCCGACUGCCGUCACAUUUAUCGCAGAUAUAACAACUCGGUACGGCGUGCCACACAGCAUCAUCACCGACAAUGGCACAAAUUUCGCCAAGGGAGCCUUGGCACGUUUCUGCGCGACGCUAGGCAUCUGGUUGGAUCUAGCAUCCAUCGCCCACCCGCAGUCAAACAGCCAGGUCGAGCGAGCCAACGGCCUCAUCCUUUCCGGCAUCAAGCCCCGACUAAUCGUACCACUGGAGCGUUCAGCCGGCUGUUGGCUCGAUGAGCUGCCGGCUGUCCUUUGGAGUCUGCACACUACACCAAACAAGUCAACCGGCUUCACCCCUUUCUUCCUCGUGUAUGGUGCCGAGGCGGUCAUCCCAACUGACAUCAAGUUCGACUCGCCUCGAGUAACCAUGUACACGGAAGCGGAGGCCAAGGAAGCACGAGAAGACGGCGUCGACCUGCUAGAAGAAAGUCGGCUGUUAGCCCUCAGCCGGUCCGCCAUCUAUCAGCAGGGCCUGCGCCGCUACCACAGCUGGAAGG
This 62812-nucleotide long non-coding RNA is filed under the name Triticum aestivum (bread wheat). RNAcentral's name for it is "long non-coding RNA (TAES_LNC006332)". Lineage: Eukaryota; Viridiplantae; Streptophyta; Magnoliopsida; Poales; Poaceae. The record is from RNAcentral.